AAAAGCGUGGGUGACCAUUAGGCCACAUAAGUUGAGCAAAGCUUUUAACAGAGUCAUAGUUGGAGGCAUCUGCGUCUUCGAAGCCUUCAUACAACACAGAAACCUGCUCGCUUGGUCCAACCCAACCAUGGCAAGGUAAGGGACUAGUGUUCUUCUGUUUCCUCUCCACUGGGACCUCAACUAGUUCUUUCAGCAAUUCAAAUGCAUCCUCUCGGAUUUUUGUUGAUAUAUUUUUGUACACCACAUCGAAACAACCGAAAGUCUCACAAGCCUCUCGAACCCUCUUGCACAAACGGUUCCACCCUUCGGUUCCUCGCUUCAAAUCCGAUGAACGGAACUCAAUGGUUGGGAACUCAAUUUCAGCAUCAACAGCCAUGUUCUUAACUUUCUUUUCUGCUCUAAGGAAAUGUUUUCUUAAACUAAAUCAGCUUGUAAGCUAAAUUGGUUUCCCUUUGUGUAGGGAUUUAUGUCUAUUUAUAGUGGUUUUUUUUUUCUCAAAGGUGGCGGGGCGUAGUGAAACACUUCAUUUAACUUCCCAAUUUUUUAAUUCGCUUAUCCAAGCAAAUCCCAGGAUGCGCCACCAGUCAAAAAGACUGUAUAUGCUACUUACUAUAAGACGAGUUUGAAUUUUAAUUUCAUCAAUUAAAAAAUAUUUAUCUAAUAUUUUUAAUCUAUGUUUUGAUUUUUUUUUUCGCAUCUUAAUUUUCUUAUUGUUAGAUACUAUACUAAACACAUGAAUACAUUGAUAGAGAAGAAGAUGAAUUUACAGAGUAAUUUGAUUAUUAUUCCUUAUCUGUUUAAAUCAAUACAUUGAUGAUGUUUAAAUACUCAUAUGAGAGUAACUGCUCGUAACCAACUACAUAUCAUACUAAUUAACAGAGUGAUAAUAGACUAACAAUCUUAACAAUCUUUAUACUAAUAUUCUCUCUUAACAUUCACCCAACUUCUCAAUGGGUAAGACCUGAAAUAAACUUCAAAAUCAAGCAAAAGUAGAGACAGAUAAUGGUUUAGUGAAAAUAUCUGCAACCUGGUCGUAGGCUGGCACUUCACCGACAACGAGAGAUCCAUUAGCCACAUUUUUGCAGAUAAAAAAUAAGUCAAGUUCGACAUGUUUGAAUUUCGAGUGUAAGACCGAAUUAGCUGCAAUAGCUACUGCAUUGGAAUUAUCACACCAAACCAUAGGAGGAUUGUAACACUCCUAACCUGUAUCUAUCGCCAAAAUGGGGUUACGAGGUAUUACAGAACAAGACACAAAAUUUCGAACAUUUACAUAUACACAUAUGUUACAUUCACAUAACUAAAACAUAAAUCUGUUUAAACAUUAAACACAUAAUUUAAAUCAUAAUACAAAUAUCAAUGAAAACUCAAAGUCAUAUAUAAUAGACUUUUAAAUACAUACAAAAUUUAUGUAUUAUUAUCAUUAAAGAAACCUAAUACCUCAAAAAAUUUCAACAUUUAAUAUCUCAAUGAUAUACAUGUGCUUAAUAACCAAACAUAUCAUAUAACAAACUUUAUUUAAUAAUAAUAUAUGCAGCAUUGGCUUUUUGAAAACAUAAUCAAUAUACAUUCGUAUAUUAUACCAUAUCACCUUAUAUCAUGGCAUAAUAUUCAUUAUCAUAAAAGAUAAUAGCUAGCUUUACAACAUGGCCAAAUAUACUUCUUUUACAUUGCAAAUUCAUGCGCAUAUUACUAUAUUAAUAUGGACCAUUUUUUAACAUAAUUACCAAAUCAAAACAUACUAAAAUUUAUAUGCAUAAUACUAACCAUUCAAACAUCAUCUAUUCAGUCAUUAAUACACAUACAAAUGAAUCACACCAUUUCUAUAUGACUUAAUAAACCAAAUUUAUAAAUAUUAAUGCAAAAUCAAAACAUGCCGAUUUCACAUGUUAUACAUCAUACCAAAAUAUCAUAUACAAGACCAAUUCUUCUCUUAUCUAUUUGACUAGCACAAUUAACUUGUACACAUUCAUUAAUUGUCAAUUAACAAACGAAUCUAUAUAGCCUUUUCACAUACAAUACAUAUACUCAUUAUUUUACCUCUUACUAAGCCAAAUUAUAAAAUCAUACUUAACGUUUCUCAUUACCGAAACAUAUAACCAACACAUCAAACAUAUAUACCUUGAGAUUAUAUAUAUCAAACCAAUUCAUCAUAUGCCUAAAAUAUAUAUGCAAGUGCCGAAUCAUCAAUCAAAUAUAUUCAUUACCUAAAUUCAACAUACACUCGUCAACCAAAUUAAACCAUUACUAUCAAAUACAAGACAUAACCGAAUCAUUUUAACCAUGAGUAACAUAACAAGCAUAAUUCAUACUUAUGUAUAUACCAUGGCCGAUUCAAACAAACCACAUCCAAAAUCACCAACCAUUUUCAAGGCAUAUGAUACAUAUAAACUUAACUAAAAUUUUAAAUACUUACAUAACAUAUUAGCCAUUUUCGUAUGGCUUAAUAUAUAUACACAACUUCAAACUUAGAAAAAUAUAAUUUAGCCUAUACAUGUCAUAGGUUCAAGUUCAAACUUAUAAAGUACCGAAAACAGUUGAUAGUGUGAUAGACUUUGCUGACGAUCCUUGAGCUCGUAACUAGACUCCAAAAUCUAUAAAACAGAGGUAAACAUACACACAUAGUAAGCUAUCAUAGCUUAGUAAGUCAUAAGCAAAUAAAUAACUUAGUAACAUUUAUAAUUCAUUAUAACAAAAUCGAAUCAUUAUAUCAUAUUCAUAUACAUUUUCAAACUUGCAAAAAUGCAUUUAACAAACAUAUAACUAUGCAUCAAAUCUAAUCAAAUCGAAUACACAUAUAGUUAAUAUCAUAAUUACUUUUCACUUCUAAGAUCACAUAUAUACCCUUGGCCAAAUAUGCUCAUUCAUAUAUGAAUACACAUAAAUCAGAAUUACAAGGUCACAUAUACUAAACAUUUGGCCAAUUAUAGAUUUUCAUAUACACAUGUACUUUCAUUUGCAUCAUGAAUACACCAUUAAACCGAAUGUAUAUUUUCACAUAUGCGUACAUGUAGUUCACAUUAACAAGUAACAUUUCUAUCUUUAAUCCAAACAUCUAACUUACCAUAAUUUCAUAACUCAGUAUGAAUACAAACCUGAACCUUUUAACUCGAUUUUUCAUUCGAUCUUAACUUUUUAUUGCCCGUUGAACCAUUUGGAAUUGAAUAGGAUACUCAGAUAAUCAUGCAUAUUGUAUAAACAUGCAUGGCUUUUAAUUAUUUUAUGUUUUAUAUUAUAUAACAUUAUUAAUUAUUUUACAUAUAUAACCUUUAUUAAUUAAUAUAAAACCAUUAUAAAAUAAGGUCACAACCGUCCAUAUCAUAUUCUCAUUGUAAAAUUGCAUUGUAAAUACUUCAAACUAUAAAGACACAUUCAAUUCGGCCCUUACACUUUAAACCAUCAAAUUUUUAUUUUACGCGAUUAAGCCCUUUUAUUGAAUCGAGCACUCAAACGAUAAAAUUUUCGAAUGAAAUUUCCACACACAUAAUAAACACAUAAUAAACACAAAAAAUAAUUUUUAAAUAUUUUUCUAACUCGGAUUCGUGAUCCCGAAACCACCGUUCCGAAUAAAGUUUAAAUCGGGCUGUUACAACUCUCCCCCUUUAGAUAUUUUCGUCCCCGAAAAUCUUACUAGUGAAUAAGUUUGGAUAAUGUUCUUUCUUUGCAUCCUCUAGCUCCAACGUUGCCUCUUCAACUCCAUGUCUAUGCCACAAUACUUUCACUAAUUCAAUUUUCUUAUUUCACAAUUCUUUAACUUCAUGAACCAGAAUACGAAUCGGUUCUUCCUCAUAUGUCAUAUCAGACUUAAUCUCAAUCUCUGAUGGGUUAAUCACAUGUGAGGGAUCAUAUCAAUAUCUAUGAAGCAUCAAAACAUGGAAUACAUUAUGGAUAUUUUCUAACUCAGGUGGCAACAACAGUCUAUAAGAACGGGCCCGAUACACUCUAUAAUCUCAUACGGCCCAAUAAAUCUUGGACUAAAUUUGCCUUUACAAUCGAAUCUGAGUAUUUUCUUCCAUAGUGAAACUUUCAAAAAUAAUUUGUCCCCGAUCUGAAACUCUAUAUCUUUUCGUUUCAAGUCCAUAUACGAUUUCUGACGAUCUGACACUAUUUUUAGACUUUCACGAAUCACUUUCACUUUGUGUUUAGUCUCUCUAAUCAAAUCGACCCCAUGUAACUUAUUUUCACUAAGCUCAGUCCAAUACAAUGGUGUAUGACAUUUAUGACCAUACAAAGCCUCAUAAAUGCCAUUUUGAUACUCGAUUGAAAGCUAUUAUUGUACGCAAAUUCAAUCAGAGGUAAGUAUCGUUCCCACAUACCUUCAAACUCGAGAAUGCAACAUUUCAACAUAUCCUCAAGUAUUUGAAUGAUUCGUUCAGACUGACCAUUUAUUUGCGGAUGGAAAGCAGUGUUGAAAUGUAAUUUCGUACCUAGUGCAUCUUGCAGUUUCUUCCAAAACUGCAAUGUAAAUCUCAGAUCUCUAUCCGAAACAAUAGAAAUAGGUACUCCGUGUAAUCUCACAAUUUGAGAAACAUACAAUUCAACUAGCUUAUCAAGCGAGUAAUCUGUGCGAACUAGAACAAAAUGAACUGAUUUAGUCAAUCUAUCCAUAGUAACCUAGAUUGCAUUUUCUUACUCAGUGUUAAUGGCAAACCAGAUACAAAAUCCAUCGUGACUUUGUCCCACUUCCACUCACGUAUCAUGAUCGGCUGAAGCAAUCCAGAAGGUACCUGAUGCUCGACUUUUACUUGCUGACAGACUAAACAUUUCGAAACAAAGUCAGAAAUAUCUCGUUUCAUACCAUGCAACCAGUAAAACUGUUUCAGAUCAUUAUACAUUUUCGUACUACCCAGGUGAACAAAUAAUCAACUGUUGUGAGCUUCGUUCAAAAUCAUCUGAAUCAACUCUGGAUUUCACUGAACACAUAUUUGAUUUUUGAACCUCAAAUAACCCUCAGCAUCAACAUGAAACUCUGAAUCAACAUUCGAGUCACAUAGCCCGCUUUGUUAACAAAUCAUCAUCAACUUUCCAAGCAUCAAAAAUCUGUUGAAUAUGUAACGGUCUUGCUUUUAACAUAGCUAUAAUCGAACCAUCAACAGACAUAGCCAUAUCUGCAUUUAUUACACGCAAAGCAAACGGUGAUUUUCGGCUUAGAGCAUAGCAACAACAUUAGCCUUUCUCGGAUGGUAGUCAAUCACAAGCUCGUAGUCUUUUAACAGCUCUAACCAUCGACGCUGUCUCAAAUUCAGAUCUUUUUGAGUCAUCAGAUAUUUCAAGCUUUUGUGAUCAAAAUAAACAUGACAUUUCUCGCCGAACAGGUAGUGGCGCCACAUUUUCAAUGCAAACACAAUAGUUGCCAAUUCUAGAUUGUGCGUCGGAUAAUUCUCUUCAUCCGGUUUUAACUGUCUUGAGGCAUAAGCUACAACUUUGCCUUCCUACAUCAAAACACAGCCCAAACCAUUCAAAGAUGUAUCGCUAUAGAUAACAAAUUCUUUACCUAAUUCUGGCUGAACUAACACUGGGUUUCGGUUAAAAGGACUUUCAACUAAUCAAAACUUUUCUGACAUUUUUCUGACCACUCAAAGUUAAUAUCUUUCUUUAAUAGCUUCAUCAUCAGGGUUGCAAUCAUAGAGAAACCUUUCACGAACCGUCUAUAAUAACCAGCAAGUCCCAGAAAACUUUGAACUUCAGAAACAUUUCUCGGAGGUUUCCAAUCAAGUAUAGCCACAAUUUUACUCGGAUCAACUUGAAUACCCAAUGUUGAUACAACAUGUCCCAGAAAAUUGACUUCACUUAACCAGAACUCAUAUUUACUGAAUUUUGCAUACAACUGUUUAUCUCGCAAAGUCUGUAACACAAGUCUCAGAUGUUCGGCAUGCUCGGUUUUAAUCAUGGGAAUAGAUCAAAAUGUCAUCUAUGAACACAACCACAAGCCAAUCUAAAUACUGUCUAAAUAUUUGGUUCAUCAAAUCCAUGAAAAUAGCAAGUGCAUUAGUAAGUCUGAAAGGCAUAACCAGAAACUCAUAGUGUCCGUACCUCGUUCGGAAAGUAAUUUUCGGCACAUCAGAAUCUUUAACUCGUAAUUGAUAGUAGCUUGAUCUCAAAUCUAUCUUUGAAAACACUGUAGCCAUUUUCAGUUGAUCGAAUAGGUCGUCAAUCAGUGGCAACGGAUAUUUAUUCUUUAUAGUCACCUUAUUGAGCUGUCUAUAGUCGAUACACAUUCUCAUAGUUCCGUCUUUCUUUUUCACAAAUAAAACUGGUACACCCUAGGGAAAGAAACUCGAUCACGCGAACCCUCUUUCUGUCAACUCUUGCAACUAAGCUUUCAAUUUUUUUAAUUCAGUAGGUGUCAUUCUGUACGGAGCUAUCGAUAUCGGAGUCAUCCCCAGCACUAACUCAAUACCAAACUCUACUUCUCGAAUAGGUGGCAAACCCAACAAUUCUUCAAGAAAUACAUUCGGAUACUCGCACACAACUGGUACUAAUUCGAUCUUUCUUUCGGUCACUUUACUAUCAAGCACAUACGCAAAGUAAGCUUCACAACCCUUUAUCACAUACUUCUGAGCUAACAUUGAAGAUAUCACUGCCGAUAAACCAUUCAGAUCAUUAGAUUCAAUCCGAAUAAUCUCAUCAUUCUGGCACCGUAAAUCAAUACUCUUUCUUUUGCAGUUUACGGUAGUAUCAUGCAAAGUCAACUAACUCAUACCCAAAAUUAUAUCAAACUCAUCAAAUGGCAAAAACAUCAAAUCAGUCGAAAAACACGAAUCUUGAAUCAUCAAAGAACAAUUCUUACACACUUUGUUAACCAGAACACACCAGCCCAAGAGGUUCGAUACUCUAAUCACAAACUCAGUAGACUCAACAGGCAAAGUUUUACUGGAUACUAAGGUCUCACACAUAUAAGAAUGAGUCGAACCAGGAUCAAUCAAUGCAAUUACACUGGUAUCAUAAAGAGUGAAUGUACCAGUAAUAACAUCGGGGGAUAAAACCUCCUCGCGAGCUCGAAUGGCAUAAGCUUGGCAGGUGUGCGAGCCUCAGAUCGAACUGAUGUGUCUUUAGUUCCUCUCUGACUGCUACUUACAUUACCAGUAUUUCUAGGCGGUCUACCUCGAGCUGACAUAUUACUCGGUCUCGGUCUCGGUCUCGCAUUUUGUACUAUGUUCUGUUUAGCUAACUUAGGGCAUUCACGAACGAAAUGAUCCAUUGAUCCACAUUUAAAAAAGGUCCGAUCAUGCAAUCUACAACUAUUGGGAUGUCGUUUACCGUAAUGUUUGCACUCAAGUUGGUUCAAUCAAAUAUUACCAACACUAGCUACUGAGGUAGCUCUCGAGCUCACAGGUGGUCUAUCUCGAUCUUGUCUAGUAUAACCCGUAGUAGCUUUUGAACAGCUAGAAUCAUCUCAGAAUCUCUUUGAUGCCGACUGAAAUGACUUACUCAAUGGUCUCUUACAUGAAUCUCUAGCUUCGAAGUCAGCUUUUCUUUUCUCUUUCCCAAGCUCUUUGACUUUGCAUGCUCACUUAACCAGCACUACGAACUCUGUUAUUUUCAGAAUGCCAACUAGCAGUUUAAUGUCUUCGUUCAACCCAUCUUCGAAUCUUUUACAUGUUAUAGCUUUGGUCGAAACACACUCUCGGGCAUAUCGACAGAGUCUUACGAAUUUUCGCUCAUAUUCUGCCACGGUCAUACGACCCUAUUUCAACUCCAGAAAUUCUUUACGUUUCUGGUCGAUAAAUCUCUGGCUGAUGUAUUUCUUAUGGAACUCAGUCAGAAAGAAUUCCCAGGUCACCCGCUCUUCCAGAACCAUCAAUACUAAUGUAUUCCACCAGUGAUAUGCGGUGUCUCGUAGCAAAGAUAUGGCACAUUUUAGACACUCAUCAAGGGUACAAAAUAGCUUAUCAAACACGCAAAUAGUAUUAUCAAGCCAGAAUUCAGCUCACUUAGCAACAUCAUCAUCAGUAUCUCUAAAUAUCUCAACCCCAUGUUUUCUGAUUUUAUCAAUAUGAGGCUUAUGUAAUCUCAACGGAUCACUCACUUGAGGUAUAACAGGUAUCGAAAAAGGAUUGUUCGGGGGUGGAGGUUGUUGUGCAGCUGGAUUUGUCUGAAUAUACUGAGUAAACCAAUCAUUCAUCAUUUGAUAAAAGGCUUGUUUAGCCUCUCCCUCUUGGUUACUUGAAGUCGGUCGAGAAUCAACCGGCGCUGUCCCUGCACUGGAGCAGGCGCUAUACUCUCGACAUCAUCAACAACGGCUCUAUCGGGAUCUAUUUGCUAUACAAAAACACAUUUUCAAAUGUCAGAAGUCAUCACACUAUCACAGUAUAUAAUAUGACAUGUAUAGCUAGACUCACACACGCUACGUUAGUCCUAGAAUUGACUAAUUGAGUUCAUACUGAUUCAUUAGUCAACCGAUCCAAUUCCUUAUUCUAUACUAACACCCCGAUUUUAAAGAAAUUAGAGGUGUCUAAAGAUCAAGCUAGGACGACAAUGACCUUAACUUAAAGAAAAUUUAAAGCCUCUCACACUUCACUUAAAUAGUUUGAUUUACUAUUUAAAAAUAAUAAAAUAUUAAAAAUAUUUUUAUAUCAAAUUUUAUAUACUUUUAUAAUUAAAAUUUAAAAUUAUUUAAUUUAAAUAUAGGCCUGUUUGAGGAUAAAAAUUGUUACCCAACUUGUCUCGAGUCAAGCCCUAACAAGCCAAAUGGACUUGCUUAAUCGAUUUUUUUAUAUGGUUUUUUAAUUUUUAUGGUUUUUGAAAUUUCUCCAAUUGAACCGGAUAAACCAAUCAGGCUGGUCAAAUAAAAAACUAGUGAUCUAAUCAAUUGAGCCAGCAAUAUGAUUUUGAAAACCUUGAUGCACUCCCUUUGCUAGUACGGUAUUGAAAGGCGAGAAUUUGAAAUCAAAGAUAGGUAAACUAUCCAAUUGGUCACCAACUUUUAGGGUGUUUUCAUUUUGGUCAUCCAAAAAAAUUCUUGCAAUUUCGUCACCCAACUUUUAGGGAGCUUCAUUUUAGUCACCCAAGUAUUAAAUCCUUAACGGUGGCUAACUGUACUGAUGUCCACUAAACUAAUUAAUAAAUUGACCAAGGCAAGUGCACCUAUCAAUUAAUAGUAUAGCUAUGGUGAGCACAUAUAUCAUUCUUUCGAGGAUUACAAUUACUAGUAAUUAUCACCUUUCUAUUAUUUAACUCAAUAAUUGAAAGGAUUGAUUGAAAUUAAAUUAAACUAUUUAAGUUAACUAAUGAAUGCACAAAAGAAUGAAACACAAAAACAAUCAAGUAUUAACCAAGUGACAAAACAAUACAUAGGUAAGAAUCCACCUAGAUUUCAUCUAUAAUUCUCAAUCUAAUUUAUGCAAUUUAUUUGCUAGUUAUUUGAUCCGUAAAAAUCCCUAAUUUAUGCUAAUAUAUCUUUCGAACAAAAGAACAACUAAUUCUAGGUUGAUUAAUUGAAAUUUCUUUCCAAUUAAAACCCUUAUUAUUGAUUUAGUUCACUCUAUGGGUCCCCUUAUUAGAUUUUACUCUAAUCAAGUAGAUUUAUGUUGUCUUAUUUCUAGGAUUGCAUGCAACUCCAUUCAAUUAUACAAGAUCUAAUCACAAAGGUCUAUUCAAGCUCAUACUUCUGCACAUCAAACAUGAAUUGACACUUUAGAAUUAUUAACACAAAAAUAAUAAAACACUCAUAAUUGAAAACAAAGAGACUAAGAUUUUAUUGCAUAAAGAUAGAAAUCAAACAAUAGAAUUUAUCCUAGAGUAAUUUCCCCGAGGUAUUAAAAGAUUUAGUUCAUAAUGGCAAGAGUGAACACCAAAAAUACAAUAUAACCACUAGAAUAAAAGAAAUCCAUGAUAACUCUCUUCAAAGAGAUUAAGAUUUUAUUGCAUAAAGAUAAAAGAAAUCCAUGAAUCUUGGUGGAAAAUUGCUUGGAAAUUGGCUUAAAUGGUGUUUUCAAGAUAAUUUUGUGCUCUUCCUUAGUGGCUACCUUCUUCCCUUCUUAUUUCCCUAUUUAUAUCCUCUUAAAGUGCUAAAAAAACUAUAAAUUGUAACUUGUAACCUUCAGACCACACAUGUGGAUUGUUUGUGUGAAAAUAUGUUUCAUGUGCACAACUUUUGGAAUGCUCCAAAGUUCUAAUUUCCGCCCUUUUUUCACUUCUAUUGCUCUUAAACGCCUUGUUAAGCAUCAAAAUAUGAAUAUAACUGAUUUUUAUUGAUUUAGACUAGUUUUUAGGGAUUUUGAGUCUGUUGUAACAUUUUUUUAUAGUUUAACUGAUUUAACUAGCUUGCAGUUCACUUUGACUUAUGGGUUAACAGGUUUUUCACCUUAUUCUGGACUAGUGUACCCGUCAGCUUUCGAUUCAAUCGGUCCAACAUGUUAAUUUAGUCCAAUUUUAACAACAUUGAAUUUAUUCUUUCAUUUUUCCAAUGAAAAUCAUAAAAUAUGAAAAAUUUAUAAAAAUAUAUGAAAUAUUAAAAAAUUUAGAUAAACCUAUAAAAAUUAUAAAAAUAUAAAAGCUAAUAAAACUUAUAAAUAUUAUAAAAACAUAUAAAAUCCUAAAAAGUUAUAAUAAAUUGUAAAAAAAAUAUAGAAGUACCUAAAAUAUUAAAAAAAUAUAUAAAAUUAGAAAAAAAAUCCUAAAAAUCAAUAAAUUUUAUAAUAAUUCACUGCAAGAGCUAUAAGAAUCGAACCCAAUUAUAUAAUUAAAUAAUUAUGGGAUGAAGAAAACUAUCACUGUCAAGUAGGCUAUGCAUUGCCCUUUGCUAUUACGGCACUGAAGGUCUAGAAUCGAAAAUAAUGUUUAUUUAUUAUCACACAAAAUUAAGAGACAACGUGCACUCCUCUGCUACCACGACAUUGCAGGACUAGCAUAUGAAAUCAAAGGUGGAUUCGGAAAAAGUCGGUGUCUGUCAUGUGGUUCUUUCGUCAUUUUAAGGAUGGAGAUAAUUUUGUGGUAAUGAUAUGAACAUAUUUUCUUCUAGAUACUGUGUGGAAAUAAGUGUUAAGAGAGAAUAUUAGUAUAAAGAUUGUUAAGAUUGUUAGUCUGUUAUCAGUCUGUUAAUUACUUUGAUAUGUAGUUGGUUAGGAGCAGUUACUCUCAAAUGAGUAUAUAAACAUCAUCAAUGUAUUGAUUCAAACAGAUAAGGAAUAAUAAUCAAAUUACUCUGUAAAUUCAUCAUCUUCUCUAUCAAUGUAUUCAUGUGUUUAGUAUAGUAUCUAACAUGGUAUCAGUCGCCUAACCUCCUGGUGCCUUCGUCCGCUGCCAUUUCAUGGCUAAUUCACAAGAUUCCACUUCCAUUGAUCAUUCUAGUCCGUCUUUUUCCAGGUUGCGGUUGAUCCAAGCUUUUCCUCGUCACGACGCAGCGAAAUUAGAUGAAAAGAAUUUUGUGCAAUGGCAACAACAUAUCAGAUUGAUCACAGAAGGACAUGAGCUGCAAGGUCUUUUAGAAGGUACAUUACCUGCUCCGCCUAGAUUUGUGGCGUCUCCAGAUGAUUUUCUAACUCCAAAUCCCGAUGCUUCCGUAUUUCUUCAACAAGAUAAGCUUCUAGCCUCUUGGUUACUCUACUAUUAGUGCAUCUUUGUUGUCUUAUUUUACAGCUACUAAAAUGGCGUGUGACGUCUGGAGCAUUGCAAAUUGGUUGUUUGCUGCCUCCACCGGUGCUAAAAUCUCACGAAUCAAGCAUGAAUUGCAGUCUCUCAAGAAAGGUGAGUUAACUGUUACCGAAUACAUAGCCAAGGUUCAGAAUACUUGUGCUCUGCUUGAGGCUUCUGGAUCUAUUGUUUCGGAGGCCGAAAAGGUAGAAGUGAUUCUCGCUGGUCUUUCGUCGGAGUUUGAUGCGGUGUUGACUCUCGCAUCAUUCUCGUCGGAGACGCUCUCGUUUCAGAAAUUGGUUGAUGUGCUAUUGGAGUUUGUGAGCCGCCAAACACGAGCGGUGCAAGACAUACCGAUGCAUGCGAAUUUGGUUGAAGCUCCUUCGGCUAUGGCGGUGACCGAGUUUGAUCUACGUGGUGUGCGUGGUGGUCGCUCAUCUUCUGGCUCGUUUGAGCGUGGCUUUCGUCCUCAGAUGCAGUGCCAGAUAUGCGGCCGAUACGGUCAUCUCGCGCAACGCUGUUUCUAUCGGUUCAACCACGACUACGGCGGUUUGAGCGAUCCAACCACAGCGCGAUUUCCUUCUACUCAUACUGGCCAAGGGCUGCUCGGUGAUUUUUCUGGCCGAUCGGCUACCUUCAGUGGACCUGGGCAGCAUGCGGAGAUCGCUCCGACGCAUUAUCCUGGUGGCCUUUCAUGGGGAGGAUGGCCACCAUCUUCAACAUUUGGCUCUCACCUUUCGUAUUAUAGGGUUCCUCAUUCUUUUUUGUUUCCUAAAUCUGAUGGAGUGGGUUAUGUGGCUGAUGCUAUUGUUGGGUCUAACGGUGGCCCACAUGUGUCAUAUGGCCCGUAUGUCAGACCACAAAUUAGGCGUGAAUUUGGGAGUUAUUUUGGCUAUGUAUUUGGGUGCGGUUUGGGGUACACUUUUGGGCGUGACGUGGGCCAGCAACACUUUGGGCUUUCUGCUGGGGUACCCAGGCCUAAUACUCCAUGCCAAAAUUUUGGGCUGUCUGGUCCUAGUGGACAGCAUAGUGGGCAGGCCAAUGCCAGUCCAAAUUUUGGACAAUAUUCCUUUUAGCCUAAUGCCAAUUAUGUAGGCCUUGAUAGCUCUAUGUGAAAUAAUGGUCCCGAAGUUCCGUGGCGGACUAAACCACGUGCCCGAGUGUUUGAUUUUGACUCCUCACAGUGUGUUAGGCUGCCUCGAAUUCUUGACUUUUAUGCAUCUGACUUUUUGGCUACCACAUAGUAUGACUCUAACUUUGAUAAUACCGAUUCAGAUGUUCCUGUGUCUGUAGGAACCUCAUCUUGGUAUCCAGAUUCAGGGGCUACUCAUCAUAUCUGUCAGAAUGCUUCUGGUUUAAAUGAGUCCACUCCAUAUUCAGGUACUUCUUCUCUUUUAAUGGGAAAUGGGACUCCUGCUAAAAUCUCGUCUAUUGGAAAUACAGUUCUGCCUACAAAGAAUAAGUUAUUACAUCUAUCUAAUGUUUUGUGCGUGCCAAGCAUCCGAAAAAAAUCUUAUGUUUGUUUUUCAGUUUGCUACUAACAAUAAUGUAUUUUUUGAAUUCCAUCCAUCUUAUUGUGUUAUUAAGGAUAUCCAAACACAGAAAACUUUGCUGUGGGGCCAAGUUCGUGAUGGUCCCUAUCAGUUUUCGGCCGGUCCGUCAGUUCCAUCCGAUUCCAAUCCUGUUAUUCACAAUACCGGGAUUCAAGAUUGUUCAUCAAAAGAUGAUAUUUUUACUCUGUGGCAUAAAAGACUCGAUCAUCCUUCUACUACAGUUGUUAAACUUGUUCUUGAUAAGUGUCAAAUUGCUUCAAAUAAAAAAUGUCUUGAUAAUGUUUGUAUUGCCUGUUAAAAAGGAAAAUCACAUAAAUUUCCCUUUUCACAGUCUACUAUCGAAUAUAUGGAAUUGUUUGAAUUGGUUGUUUCUAAUUUGUGGGGACCGAUUCCUGUUGCCUGUGUGGGCAAUCUGUAUUACGUUUCGUUUGUAGACAUGUGUAGUCAGUUUACCUGAUUUUAUUUGAUUAAAAAUAAGUCUCAAAUAGUUGAAUGUUUUCUUUAAUUUCUGAAGAUGGUCGUCACACAGUUUGGAAAGAAUAUUAAAAAAUUUCAAAGUAAUUGGGCUAGUCAUGGGAUUCUUCAUCGUCUUUCCUGUCUACAUACUUCUGAACAAAAUGGGGUUGCUGAAUGUAAACACAGGCACAGUAUGGAAACUGAUAUUACACUUUUGGCCCAGGCCAAUCUACCUAUGGAUUACUGGGGAUAUGCAUUCUGCAGUGCUAUUCACCUUAUCAAUCGUCUGCCCACUUCGGUCCUGAAAGGUUAGUCUCCGUAUCUGAAUCUUUAUGGUCGUGAACCUACAUAUGAUCGCUGUAAGACUCAAUUUGUGCCCGGGCCUAUACCAAAACUAAAACCAAAAAUAAAAUAAAACAACAAAAAUAAAUCCAAUGCCCCUUUUACAAACAUUGAGAUCCAAUACCCAUAAGCCCUAAAACUCGAGGCCCAAUACACCCAAAAUUCCCAGCAGCACUAGGAGUUUCUGGAACAUGCCAGACCUGCAUGGCCUUCUCCAUCGUACAGUAGUCCCGUGCUCCCAUAGAAGCUGCGAGAACAAAAAGAAUAACAGAAAUGCCAGCUAAAAAUAUGAUUUUCAUUUUUUUUCCUUUUUAUUUAUUUUGCAAGUUUGGCUAUAAAAGCCAUGGAUGUACUAUAAAUUGGGGAUUACGCACACUACGCAUAUUAAUCAAACAAAGGAAAUCAGUCAAAGUUCAAGGUGAUUUCCGAUUCGAGUUUCUUUAAGUUUUUUUUUCCUUUAUUUCUUUUUCAAUUUGUUUUUUAGAAUACAUCAUUAUUGCAUUUUGUUUUUAAAAAAAAUAAAGAAAAACAAAGGAAAGGAGCAAUACCGUGCGAGUACGCCAAGGAUCUUCUCUUUGCUUCGUUGGAAUUGAAGUUGAAGGAAGAUCAAUGCUGAAAUGGUUCUUCAAAGACUGCAAAGGCUACAAAGAAAAGUCAGCAGUUAAGGGACGAUUUGGGGGUUUGCUAAAAGCAAAGGGAAAGGAGAAAGGGGACGAUACCUUGUGAUUUGGCCAUCGGUUCACUCUUGCUUCGUUGAAAUUGAAGUUUAAGGGGAUCUUGAGGCUAAAAAACACCCUUCAAGGCUUGAAUGAACCGAUCGAUGUUCAUGGAGGUUGAUUGGAGUUUGAAUGAAGGGAUUUUGGGAACGGUUGAGGGAGAAACAAAGGGACUGGAGAUGAGGAUCGGCCAAAAGAGGAGAAAAGCAUGGGGAAAUAAAAAGGGGCUAGGAUUAUUUUAAAAGUGGCAGAUUGUUUUCUUUAUUUUUUAAAGGAAAUAUUUGGUUUUAUAAAAGUGAAGAAACAACACCGUUUCAAAAGGGAAAUGUUUGGUUAUUUGUUGUAGAUGGUCAAUUUCUCGAUUGGUCCCGUCCUUUCGCGUUAGCGCGCGAUCAAGCCUACUUCAGAUUUUUUUGUUUUUUAAUUUUGCCCGCAGAAUUUGUGUGCCAAUUCAAUUGGAUCCGCACUUAAGCAUUGCAUUUUGAUAUUCGGAUUAUUUACAUUUUCAAUCCUCGUACGUUCACACGCAUUGCAUUUUGACCCUUAUUUUUGUGUUUUAAUGAUCUAUUUUUAUUUAUUAAUUGCCCCCUUUCAAUUUGAUUUUAUCUCAAUUAAGUUUUAUUUCAAUUUGUAUCUUUCAUUACUAUUUUUUAAAAAAAAUUCACUUUAACAUUCAUCUCUUAAUUUUAUUUUUUUUAUAUGUACAUUUUGAAUUGUCUUAAUAAGUUUUUUUUUCCUCUUUUCAAUUUUUUUUUUUAAAAUUCCUUUUUAUAUUAUAUCAUUAUAACAUUUUGCAUAAUAUUUUAUACGUUAUUAUAUAAAUAAUUUUUUAUGAAGUUGAUUUUAUUCUGUGUAUAUUAUUAGUAUUAUGUUAUUUGAUACGUAUAAUUUCUUUUAGAUUUAUUCACAUAUUUUAUUAUAUAUCUUUAUUAUUUAAAGGAAAAAUCCCACAAAUUUAAUAUAUUAUUUAAGUUAUCAUUAAGCAUAUAUUUUUGGUAUUUAUAUUUAAUUUAAAUACAUUAUUAAAAUCAUGAUAUUUUUAAAUAUAUAGUUUUUUAAGUUUGUAGCUAAUUGUUUUUAUUAAAUGCAUAGUAUGUGAUGAAAUUAACUUAAUUUUACAAUUCAUAUUUUUAUUUCAUGAUAUUCUAACAUUUAGUUUUUUCUAAAAUAUAUGUAUAUAACCCAUAUUAAAUUAUUUUAUUAUAGUCUACAUUAUUGAUUUCAAAUUAAUAUUUCUUUUACGUGUAUAUAUAUAUAUAUUUUAAAUUAUUCAUGUGUAUAAUGCGUUUCUUUUAAGAACUAUAUUUUAAGUCGUACCAUUUAUUUAUUGUAUAUACUCUCAUGUUAUCCUUAUGUAUGCAUUAUUUAUGUGUUCCAUCAAUUCAAAUCGUUUUGCUACAUGUAAAAUUAUUUUAUAUAUUAUUUGUUUUAAAAUUUCCUUUAUAAAUAUAGUUUUAUAAAUAUACAUCACUAAAUUUAUAUAUUUUGUCAAUAUUAGUUUUAUCUUUUGUAUAUGAUCUUUUUUUUUCUCUUUUAAAAUUUUGUUAUAUAUAUAUAUAUAUUUUAUACAUUAUUAAUUUCGUUUUUUUACAAAUAAUUAUACCCAAUUUUUACUUGUAUAUAAAAGUUUCAUAAAUCUAUUUUGUAAAUGAAUUGUUAUUCCUUCAUAUUUAAUAUAUUAUUUAAAUUAUCUUGUGAAUUAUCUUGUGAAUUAUCAAUUUUUUGAAUAAAUUUGUGUUUUAAAUAUUUUGUGCAUGAUUUGAUUUGAACUUUGAAAUUUAUAAUAAUUAUUUCAAUAAACAUAUAUCCUAAGUUUUAUGCAAAUAUGUCAACUUAGAUAUACUAUAUGACCAUUAAUUCUUCGUUUUGUUUUAUACAUAUUUUUUUAUAAUCAUUUUAUUUUGUGUUAUGACCAUGUAUAUUAUUUUUUAUUAUUCAUUAUCCAUGCUUAAAGAAUUUUUUGUUAUAUUAUACCUAGAAUGAUUGUUAGACAUAUUAAACAAGGUUUAUUGUAUUUUUGAGUAUAUUAUUUCAUAUUUAUUGUUUUUUUAAUACAUUAAAUAUUUCAUCAAUUUUAAAAUGAAUAAACAUGUUUUUUAAGCAAAUUUCUGAAUUUUAAUUAUUUAAAGUUUUUGAAAUAAGGCAAUAUCUAAUAUUUGGGGAAUUCAGAAAAAUUGUGCUCAAUCGUACUGGGUAUGACUUUUCCGAUGAAUCAAAUAUUUAGAUAACCUUUUAUACUUUUAAUGUAUGAGUUUUUUUUUUAAAUUCGAAAAUCGAUUGUAUCUUAAAGGUAUAAGGGAUCGUAUCCAACCGUACUGGGUAUGAAACCGUAUAUCUUUGGAACGAGAGAUUUUUGAUAGCUAAUUUGAGCUAUUUAAACAUUUUUUAUCUACCUCGGAAAAUAUUUUCUUUUAAAACUUUUUAAGGACAGCAUCAAAUCAAUUUGAUACCAUUUUUUGGGUGUAAUGAGGGUGCUAACCCUUCCUCAUGCGUAACUGACUCCCGAACCCGUUUUCUAUUUUUUUACCUAAACCAAAUUUAUUUUUCAUUGAAUAAAACGUUUUAAUAGGUGAUCCAAUCACACCUAAAUCAAGAGAUUGGUGGCGACUCCACAUUUUGGUUUUAAAAGUCGAUUCUCAUUGUUUUAAAAAUAAAAAAGGGUUUCGACAAUCGCUUAAGGGUGUUUGGGUGUUGUUGCUUUCCAUAUUUACGUCCUUUUGUGCAACACAAACUGGAUUUUCAUUCACAGCCAUGUACGUUUUUGGGGUAUAGCUCUCAACAUAAGGGCUAUCAUUGUCUCACACCAGAUGGUAAGGUUAUUAUUUCUCGCCAUGUUGUGUUUGAUGAACAUCGAUUCUUGUUUCAUUCACCUCAUCUAGCCAUUGUUCAGUCUUCUUCCAGUUUUCCUACAUAUAUAUCUAUUGUUUGGCCCUCAUCUGUCUGGUCCAUAGUAGAACCCAGCAGCAUCACUAUCUCGCCAUCGGCUGUACCCCUGCCUCUUGCUCCAAGUUGUAAUUUCGACUAGUCUAUCCCAGUUGAGUUACCAGCUACGUACCAUCCUAGUCAGCCAGUCUCAGUUGGUUCAUUGGUUGAACUCGGAACUAAUUUAAGGGAGCUUUGUCUUCCAAUUCUGUCUGCAGAAGCUAGUCCGUUCGGUCAAACCAGUGUGUCUCUAAAUAUUCCUCCAGUAAAUACUCGCACUAUGGUUACUCGGUCUAAGGCAGGAAUUUUUAAACCUAUGUCUUUGUCAGUAGACGCUGUAGAUUUUGAGUCACGCUCUGUUGAGGAAGUUCUUGCUCAUAAGGAGUGGAAAUUAACAGUUCAAGCUGAGUUUGAUGCUUUACUGGCCAACUCUACUGGGGAACUUGUUCCUCAGUGAUUGGGUGCAAAUGGCUUUUCAAAAUCAAGAAGAAUCCCGAUGGGUUGGUUAAUCGACGAAAGGCAUAAUUGGUAGCAAAAAGAUGUUCACAAGUACUUGGGUGUGACUUUAAAGAAACAUUUAGCCUGAUGGUCAAACCUGCUGUAACACCCUCUAACCCACAUUUUCCGCCAGAACGGGGUUACAGGAUGUUACCGAAGUUUACAGAAUAAUUACACAUAAUUCCACUAUUUGCUCAUAUUCCAGUCAAGUUGUUUUCUCGAGUCAUAGUAACUAAAUGAUUUAUAUCUUGAGAUACAGGACUCCAAAUUAAGUUUAACUAAUUUUUCCUAAAACAAGACUCAAAUAUAUUCUUACCAUAAAAUUUUCAGAAUUUUUGGUUUAGCCAAUAAGUACAGUUUAUUCUUUGAAGUCACCCCUGUUUCACUGUCAGACAGUUCCUACCCCUCUUCACUAAAGAUUAAUUACUACCUCAUACGAAAUUAGGAUAAUGUUAUUGUUUGUUUAUUUUGAAAAUAGACUCAUUAAUAAUUUUAAGCAUAUAAAUUUAAGCCCCUAAUUAUUUUUCUUCAAUUUAUUAUGAUUUUCCAAAGUCAGAAUAGGGGAACCCAAAAUCAUUCUGACCUUAUCUCACAAAAAUUCAAAUAUCUCAUAAUAUGAAAUUCUUUUGAUUACACCAUUUCUUCUAUGUAAAAUUAGACUCAAUAGGCUUUAAUUUAAUAUUUUAUUCAACCUUUAAAUCGAUUUCCACAAUUUUUGGUGAUUUUUCAAAAUUUGACUACUGCUGCUGUCUAAAACUACUUUAGUGAAAAAUGUUGAUAACUAAGUUUAUAACACAUUCACUUCCUUUCAAUUAAACCCUAUACAUGCCAUAUAAACCUUAAGAUGCAUAAUAAAAUUUACCGAAGUAAUCUGGAUAGUGUGCCCUAAUGAAAGCUUAUGAAAGCUCAUAGGCAUAGAAAAAUAAAUCUUACUAAACAUUGCACAUAAUCAUAUAACAUUUAAUUUCAUUAAAUCCUCUUGUAAAUCACAAAAUCAUUAAUAAACUCAUUUGAUUGAUUUCAAUGUCACUAUUCACCAAUUCUUGAUCUUUUGGGCCCAUUUCUCAUUUACUUUCAUAGUCAAAUUAGGGAACGAUUACGAAAUUGAGUACUUUGUUAUCACAAUACCAUAGUACAACUAUGGUCUUGAACAUAGUCACAUAUUACACAACGAAGCCAUAGCCCAGCCAUGGUCUUACACGGAUCACAUAUCACACUGAUUCCAUAUCCCAGAUAUGGUCUUAUACAGUAGCACAUAUCACUCCGAUGCCAUAGCCCAGAUAUGGUCUUAUAUGGAAGCACAUAAUCACAUCUCUCCGAUGCCAUAGCCCAGCUAUGGUCUUAUACGGAAAUCACAUAAUCACAUCACACUGAUGCCAUAGCCCAGCUAUGGUCUUAUACAGAAAUCACAUAUCACAUGUUGCCAUGGUCCAACCGUGGUCUUUUCGGUCAAUUCGUCUUAGCCACUGAACGAAAGUACUUAAAUCCGUUGUUCCACUUAAUUUGUACUUUUAUUCAAAUAUCAUUUUACAACUAUCACAGUUUAAUGGCAUUCAUAUACAAUAAUAUACUAUAUCAUUCAUGAAAUUUUCAUAUCAAAACAUUAAAUUUAGCCAUAUGAACUUACCUGGGCAAAUUCGCAAAAGUCAUACACGUUCAGGGACUAAUCGACUAUUUUCUCUUUUCCACGAUUCACUUCGAGUUCUUGAUAUAUAAUUGUAAAAUCAUUCAUUUAUUAGCAUUAAUUCCAAUUUUACUCUACUUCACAGUUUAUACCAUUCAAUUCAUAAAAUUACACUUUUUCCCCAAAUUUUAUAGUUUUUACGAUUUAGUCCCUACUCAAUUAACCCAUCAAUUGAGAAAAUUUUUCUCAAUUAACACUUUAUUUAUUCAUUCUAAGCUACUACAAAACCUUUGAAAAUCAGAAUUUCAGCACCAAACCUUAAUUCAAAAAAUUUUCACAAUUAGGUCAUAAAAUCAAUUUCUAUCAAAAUUACUUAAUAAAAUCAUCAUAUAAUAAAAUAAGAACUUAAAUUCCAUAAUAAUUCAUCAUAAUCAUACAGCACUUAUUCAUGGUAACUUUUAAAGUCACCCAUAAAAUCAAAAACUAAUGAAUUAGAUAGUUGGACCUAAUUGUAAAAGUCACAAAAACAUAAAAAUUACUAAGAAAAAGUAAAAAUUGAACUCACAUAUAUCAAAAUAUGAAAAACCAAAAACUUCCAGACCUCCCAUGGCAUUUUUUCUGAAGAAAAAAUGAUGAUAUCUCUAGAUUUUUCAAAUUUGUCUUUAUUUUAUAUGUUUAAUUUGCAAAAUUUCCAAUUUUGCCAUUGUUUCUCCUUGUCUUUUUGCUUAUUUUCUUGCCCAAACCGUCCAUCCCAUAUAAUUUGGAUCUAAAUCCUUUUUAAAUCCCUCCUUAUUAGUCACUUAAGCUAUUUAAUCACUUUACCACAUUUUGCACUAUUUUCAAUUUAGUCCUUUUUAAUUAAUUGACUAGCCAAACGUUAAAAGUUUCUAACGAAAAUUUAAUACUAACUUAAUAACACUCCUUAUGGCUCAUUUAUGAAUCCGAGGUCUUGAUACCUCGUUUUCAACCCGAUUUACCUAAUUAAUUCUUUUAAAUCACAAAAUUCACUAAAAAAUACUUCUAUAAUCAUACUUGUCUCAUAGCUAUUAAUUUAUUAAAUUUUCAACUCACUCGUUGGAUUUAGUGAUCUCGAAUUACUGUUUCCGACACCACUGAAAAUUAGGCUGUUACAACUCUCCCCCUUUUAGGGAUUUUCGUCCCCGAAAAUCUUACCAGAAGAAGUUGCUUUCAAAACUCAUGAAACACUUUUACUAACUUCUCAUAAUCACAAUUCGAUUUAACCUUGAAUAUUUUUUUCCAGUCACCUUUGAACUCUAGAACACAAUGUUGGAACGUACUUUCAAAAUUCUGAAUUACCCUUUCAGGAACACAUAUACUUAGCUGAUCUGUCAAAUAAAAACUCUGUACCCGCUGAAAUGAUCAUACAGAUCUUUCUUUGUAAAAUGAUCAACCAUAAACUAAAUAAUGACAAUCCCAAUUCAAAAUCUAUAGCCAUUCUAUCUCAUAACACACUAGUAUUAUCACUGACGGCAAUAAUCCUGAAUGCUCUUGAUGUUCAGCUUACUUGCUAACAAAUAGACAUCUGAACAUGAACUUAAAAAUAUUAUGUAACGCUCGUGCAAUCACUAGCACAUCUAACUCACAAGAAGAUAAUGAACAUCUUAAUAAUUCCUCAGAGAAAGCCAGAAGAAAAACACUGCUUACGGCUGACUCUGGACUUCUAUCAUAAUAGAGAUAAUAUAUUUCCCGCAUGUAUAAAACAAAAUCAUAAUCAAUAGAAACAUAAGAAUAGUCUCAUAUAAAUUUUUACCAUCGACUUCAUUCCAACAUAUUAGAAUAGAAUUCCAAAGAGAUGAAGAAAUACUGAUCAUAAACCAACCAGACCAACAGGGCUUUCGUCUAACAUCAUAGUUAGCUAGCAUUCUCACAACAUAAGAACUCCAUCAAAAAUUGAACAACUACACACAUAUAUCUGAGAAUAAAAGAAUAUAUAUAAUACCCAGAAAAGAUCAUCAUAUUCAUUUCAACUAUAACUGUCACACACAGACAUCUUUACUACUCAAUUAUCAUUUCUCUAACUAAUUUUGUCAUCAUGAACCCUGCAUCAUUCCAUUCACUAACGAAAACCAAUUCGGGAAAAACUUCAACAAACACAUACUUUAGACAUCAUAUCUAAAUAAUCUAUUAGCCGAGGUUAACUUUUUCUUUAACCGUGACAUUACGUAAUCUGAAUAAUCUUUAGAAUAAUUUGAUAUCUUUUUUCAAAACUCUAUUCACUUGUCAAACUAUUUUCAACUCCGUCUGCAUUAUUAAUUAUUCCACUACUGUACUCUUUAGUUUCACACUUGUGAACAUAUUCAACAUAAUUCUAGUGAAUUUUCGUUAUAAAAAAACCACAUUGGUAAGGGGGUGAGGUCGUAAAGCCUCUAACUAAACUCUCAUAAACACACACAUAUGACUUAGCAUCUAUCAUCAACAUCAUAUCCUUACAAUUACAUAAUUCACUUCAAUCAAAUUAACAUACAUAAUUAUGUUACACGAACUUUUCAAUUAUCCUUUUCAAACAAGUGUACUUAAACUUACAUUCCAUGAAUUUUGAGUAAGUUUACUCGUAGUAUUUACUUAAUCAAACAAGUCAGGCACAUAACAUCAUAUGAAUGCCACACAAACAUAUAUAAGCUUAUCACAAUAUAAACUUUCAUUUCAUUCAUGUUUCCAUAUUUCUCAACUUAUAAUUAUUUCAUUUCGUACAUUAUCACAUACAUAUCAUGAACUUCUAUUCAUACCUUUAUAAGUUCCGUCUCAUCAUAAACACAUUUUAAAUAUCUCAAUAUCUCUUUUAGUACUAUAGAAAAUAGCUCAGUUGGAAAGAAUUUCUGUCUAUAAGUAAAACAAAGACUAGAUCGAAUCAUACACAUCAGACUAUCACAGAUUUAUAUGGCAUGUAUUUCUAGACACUUUAUACAUCUCACUCCUUCCAAGAAUCGGCUAAACCGAAGCUCCGAUACCAAUAAAUGUAACACCCCUAACCCACAUUCAUCGCUAGAAUGGGGUUACAGGAUGUUACCGGAGUUUACAGAAUAAUUACACAUAAUUCCACUAUUUGCUCAUAUUCCAGUCAAGCUGUCUUCUUGAGUCAUAGUCACUAAAUUAUUUAUCUCUUGAGAUACAAGACUCCAAAUUAAGUUAUUAUAAUUUUUCUUGAAACUAGAAUCAAAUAUAUUUUUACCAUAAAAUUUUUAGAAUUUUUGGUUUAGGCAAUAAGUACAUUUUAUUCUUCAAAGUCACCCCUGUUUCACUGUCAGACUAUUCCAACACCUCUUCACCAAAGAUUAAUUAUUUCCUUAUAAGAAAUUUAGAUAAUGUUCUCGUUUAUUUAUUUUGAAAAUAGACUCAUUAAUAAUUUUAAGCAUAUAAAUUUAAGCCCCUAAUUAUUUUUCUUUAAUUUAUUAUGAUUUUCCAAAUUCAGAAUAGGGGAACCCAAAAUCAUUUUGACCUUAUCUCACAAAAGUUCAAAUAUCUCAUAAUAUUAAAUUAUUUUGAUUACACCAUUUAUUCUAUGUAAAACUAGACUCAAUAGGAUUUAAUUUCAUGUUUUAUUCAACCUCUAAGUCGAUUUUCAAAAUUUUUGGUGAUUUUUCAAAGUUUGACUACUGCUGCUGUGUAAAACUAUUUUAGUGAAAAAUGUUGAUAACUAAGUUUAUAACACAUUCAGUUCCUUUCAAUUAAACCCUAUACAUGCCAUAUAAACCUUAAGAUGCAUAAUAAAAUUUACCGAAGUAAUCUGGAUAGUGUGCUCGGAUGUGUUGAUCUGAUCCACCGAUUUCACGUCAAUCUAUAAAGAACAUUUAACAUACAAGACUAAGCUUAUGAAAGUUUAGUAAGCUUAUAGGCAUAGAAAAAUAAAUCUUACCGAACAUUGCACAUAAUAAUAUAACAUUUAAUUUCACUAAAUCCUCCUGUAAAUCACAAAAUCAUUAAUAAACUCAUUUGAUUGAUUUCAAUGUCACUAUUCACCAAUUCUUGAUCUUUUGGGCUCAUUUCUCAUUUACUUUCAUAGUCAAAUUAGGGAACGAUUACGGAAUUGAGUACUUCGUUAUCACAAUGCCAUAGUAAAACUAUGGUCUUGUACAUAGUCACAUAUUACACAGCGAAGCCAUAGCCCAGCCAUGGUCUUACACGGAUCACAUAUCACACAGAUGCCAUAUCCCAGAUAUGGUCUUAUACAGUAGCACAUAUCACACCGAUACCAUAGCCCAGCUAUGGUUUUAUGCGAAAAUCACAUGAUCACAUCACACCGAUGCCAUAGCCCAGCUAUGGUCUUAUACAGAUGGUCUUUUCCGUCAAUUCAUCUUAGCCACUGAACGAAAGUACUCAAAUCCGUUGUUCCACUUAAUUUGUACUUUUAUUCAAAUAUCAUUUUACAACUAUCACAGUUUAAUGACAUUCAUAUGCAAUAAUAUACUAUAUCAUUCAUGAAAUUUUGAUAUCAAAACAUUAAAUUUAGCCAUAUGAACUUACCUGGGCAAAUUCGCAAAAGUCAUACACGUUCAGGGACUAAUCGGCUAUUUUCUCUUUUCCACGAUUCACUUCGGGUUCUUGAUCUAUAAUUGUAAAAUCAUUCAUUUAUUAGCAUUAAUUUCAAUUUUGCUCUACUUCAAAGUUUAUACCCUUUAAUUCCCAAAAUUAUACUUUUGCCCCAAAUUUUAUAGUUUUUAUGAUUUAGUCCCUGCUCAAUUAACCCAUCAUUUGAGCCAAUUUUUCUCAAUUAACACUUUAUUUAUUCAUUCUAAGCUACUACAAAACCUUUGAAAAUCAAAAUUUCAGAACCAAACCUUAAUUCAAAACUUUUUCACAAUUAGGUCCUAAAAUCAAUUUCUAUCAAAAUUACUUAAUAAAAUCAUCAUAUACUAACAUAAGAACUUCAAUUCCAUAAUAAUUCACCAUAAUCAUACAACACUUAUUCAUGGUAACUUUUAAAGUCACCCAUAAAAUCAAAAACUAAUGAAUUAAAUAGUUGGACCUAAUUGUAAAAGUCACAAAAAACAUAAAAAUUACUAAGAAAGAGGAAAAAUUGAACUCACAUAUGUCAAAAUAUGAAAAAAGAAAGAAACUUCCAGACCUCCCAUGGCAUUUUUUCUGAAUAAAAAUGAUGAUAUCUCUAGAUUUUUCAAUUUUGUCUUUAUUUUAUAUGUUUAAUUUGCAAAAUUUCCAAUUUUGCCCUUGUUUCUCCUUGUCUUUUUGCUGAUUUUCUUGCCCAAACCGUCCAGCCCAUAUAAUUUGUAUCUAAUUCCCUUUUAAAUCCCUCCUUAUUAGUCACUUAAGCUAUUUAAUCAUUUUACCAAAUUUUACACUAUUUUCAAUUUAGUCUUUUUUAAUUAAUUGACUAGCCAAACGUUAAAAUUUUCUAACAAAAAUUUAAUACUAACUUAAUAACACUCCUUAUGGCUCGAUUUAUGAAUCUGAGGUCUCGAUACCUCGUUUUCAACCCGAUUUACCUAAUUAAGUUUUUUAAAUCACAAAAUUCACUAAAAAAAUACUUCUAUAAUCACACUUGUCUCAUAGGUAUUAAUUUAUUAAAUUUUCAACUCACUCGUCAAAUUUAGCGAUCUCGAAUCACUGUUUCCGAUACCACUGAAAAUUAGGCUGUUACACCUGCUACUAUCCGAACCAUUUUAUCUGUUGUUGUAUCCAAUGAUUGGCAACUCCGUCAAGUCGGUGUAAACAAUGCCUUUUUAAAUGGAGACCUAACUGACAAAGUGUUCAUGUAACAACCUCCAAGCUAUGUUCAAUAUGGACCAAAUGGUGAGCCAUUUUGUAUGCUAUCUAACGAAGGCUUUGUACGGAUUACGGUAAGCUCCCCGUGCCUGGUUUGAAAAAUUGAAACAGUUCCUUGUCUCUACUAGUUUUGUCUUAUCUAAAUCCGAUGCUUCAUUGUUUGUUAAAGUUUCAACCAAGUCUACUGUCUAUAUCUUGGUCUAUUUGGAUGAUAUUAUUAUUAUUGGAAGUUCGACUGAUGAAAUAAACUGUUUUGUUCUACAGCUACAUAAUGAAUUUUCUCUAAAGGUAUUGGCGAGCUCUAUUAUUUUUUAGGGAUUGAGGUCAGUAGGUCGUCCAUUGGCAGUCUUCACUUGUACCAGCACAAAUAUAUUCGGGAUCUUAUUGACAGGAGUUCUCUGGCUAAUGCAAAGAGUGUUCAUACGUCGAUGGUUUGUUCAUCAACUUUGUCUAAAGAUGAAGGUGAUCGGCUUGCUGACCCUACUAAAUACAGAAGUCUUGUUGGUGCUUUUUAAUAUGUGGUUUUAACUUAGUCGGAUAUUGCCUAUGCUGUAAAUCGUGUCUGUCAAUUCAUGCAUGCACCUACUACGGUUCAUCUGAUAGCAUUAAAACGUAUCUUGAGGUAUUUACAUGGCACUAUUACUCAUGGGUUGGUUUUUAAACGAUCUGAUAGACUAUCUUUGGUUGGUUAUGCUAAUGUCAAUUGGGGUCUUGAUUUUGAUGACUGCCGUUCUACUACGGGCUAUUGUGUCUACUUUGGUCAUACACUUGUCUCGUGGUGUUCUAAGAAACAAGUUGUUUCUUUGUCCACGAUAGAGGCUGAAUAUCGAAGUUUAGCUGCAGCUUCCAGUGAUAUUGCUUGGUUAGUUUCUCUGUUAACAGAAUUACAAAUCAGUUCUAUUGAUCCUUGUAACAGCCCGAUUUUGACCCUAUUCGAAAUGGUGGUUUCGGGACCACGAAUCUGAGUCAGAAAAUUAUUUAAAAAUUAUUUUCUGUGUUUAUUUUGUGUGAAUUUAUGUGUGUGAAAAUUUCAUUCGAAAAUUUUAUCGUUUGAGUGUUCCAUUUAAUAAAAGGGCUUAAUCACGUAAAAUAAAAAUUUGAUGGUUUAAUGUGUAAGGGCUAAAUUGAAUGUGUCUUUAUAGUUUAAAGUAUUUAUAAUGCAAUUUGACCAUGAGAAUAUGAUAUAGACGGUUGUAACCUUAUAUUAUAAUGGUUUUAUAUUAGUUAAUAAAGGUUAUAUAAGUAAAAUGAUUAAUAAUGUUAUAUAGUAUAAAACAUAAAAUAACUAAAAGCCAUGCAUGUUUAUAUUUUGAUAGUCGAAAUUAGCUAAAGGAAAAGAAAAAGAAAAGAAAGCCAUAUUCGGCCAUUGUUAAGCUUAAUCAAGGUAAGUAACUAGCUCGGUCUUUGAUAAUUUUUACGUUUUUGAAAUUGUUGCAGUGUAAUAUACAAAGCCCAUGCUUGAAUUUCUAAUUUUGAUGAAUAUUUUGAUUAUGUCAUUGAUGAAUAAUUGAGCUUUGUGAUGUUAGUUGAUGAAUUAUGAAAGACAUGUUUUGGAUUAAUAUGUUUUGUAUUGGAAUUUUUGAUGAUUUUGAGUAAUUAGGGCUAAAUUUCAAAAAUAAUAAAUUAAGGGACUAAAAUGUGAAAUAAAUGAAAUUUAUGGACUUGUAUGAGCAUAAGGACAAUUCAGCCUAAGCAUGGUGUGUGCAAAAUUUGCAUGUUGUGUUUUGUGCAAUUUGGACUAAAUUGUAAAAAGUGUAAAAUGUUGGGGGUAAAAUGGUAAUUUUCCCAUUUAUGUUUUUGGACUAAAUUGAAUGAAAUUAUGUUUUAAUGAGUUUAAUUUGAAUAUGUUUAGAUCAAGAACCAAAGAAAUUAGAUUUGGAUCGGGGGAAAACCAAAGUUGUCGAUUAGUCAUUCCGUUCUAAUUAUCGUUGUCCGAGGUAAGUUUAUAAGCAAAUUAGAUAUUAUUUAUUUGAUUAAAUAUGAACUAUAUAUGCUGAAAUGAAUAAAUGUGAUAUUAUAUAUGUGGAAGCUGAAUAUGUAUAAGCUUAAAAGCUAUGUGUACGAGUUCGAUUCAAUCGAGUUACAACGUCUGAAAGCCCUGUACGAACCUUAGGAAUAGCUAGGAUACAUAUGUCAUGACAUAGGAUUUUUGAAAUGUGUUAUCGUGUAAGACCACGUCUGGCACGUUGGCAUUGAUAUGUGAUUACGUGUAAGACCAUGUCUGGGACAUUGGCAUUGUAUUAGAUUCAUGUAAGACCCUGUCUGAAACAGUGGCAUCGAUAUGUGAUUGCAUGUAAGACCACGUCUGGGAUGUUGGCAUUGUGCGAUAUGCUUGAUUAUUCGAGUAUCCUAUUCAAUUCCAAACGGUUCAACGGGCAAUAAUAAGUUAAGAUCGAAUGAAAAAUCGAGUUAAAAGGUCCAAGUAUGUAUUCAUACUAAGUUAUGAAAUUAUGGUAAGUUAGAUGUUUGGAUUAAAGAUAUAAAUGUUACUUGUUAAUGUGAACUACAUGUAUGCAUAUGUGAAAAUAUACAUUCAGUUUAAUGGUGUAUUCAUGAUGCAAAUGAAAGUAUAUGUGUAUAUGAAAAACUAUAAUUGGCCAAAUGUUUAGUAUAUGUGAGUUUGUAAUUGUGAUUUAUGUGUGUAGUAGGCCAAUUUUGGCCCACUAAUACCAAGCCCAUUUACCCCUCUUACAACCAACAAACCAAAUCCCCUAGCCCAAAUACCACCAGCCCAAUACUCAACCAGCCCAACAAAAAAAAAGAGAAACAGACAACAAGAAACCCUAAACUCCCACUUGCCUCUUCCCACUCUCCCAUGCUGUCUGCCACCAGCACCAUUCCCACUCUCCCAUGCUGUCUGCCACCAGCACCAUCACACACCCCCAUACCGUCUACCACCACCAUGCCUUUGCCGCACCUGCAAACAAGCAAAGGAAAAGGACAAAAAAUGGAGCAAUAAACAGUAACAGAAAUUGUAUUUUUGGCUAUAAAAGCCACAAGCAAAAUCGAACUUAGGGGGGGAAUUUUUAAGUAAAAAAAGAGAGAAAUAAUUUCAAUACACAAGCAGUGAUAAAAUAAUAGAGGAACUACAAGAUCGAAAAUCAAAAUCAAAAAAAAGAAGGUGACUUUAAAUUUUUAUUGAAUCGGCUUCAUAUUUUUUUAUUUUCUUUUCUUUGUCAUUUUCUACUCAUAUUUAUACACAUAUAUAGUGCAAAAAUAUAAAACAUAUAAAAAUAUAAAAAUAAAUAAAUUUUUACCUUUCCGGCCACCGCACGCCGGCACCGGCGAGGCUCCGGUGGCCGUCCGAUGACCGACCCCUGUGGCCGGAGCUCUCCCCUCCCCUCUCUUCCUUCCCCGCUCCCUCUUUUCUCUCCCUCCUCUUCCCUUUUUUUUCCUUUCUUCUGUUUCAAAUGAAAAAAAUAAAAAUUUUUAACUUAUAUAGGGGACCAAAACGGUGCGUUUUGGUCCCCCCCUUUAACCCUUAAAACGGCGCCGUUUAGGCCCAGGGUCGGGUCGACCCGACCCGCACCAAGGAGGAUCGGCGUGUUUUUCUUUGGAAGGGCUAAUUGCACUUUUAGCCCUUUCGCUUUUCUGGGAGUUUACAAUCAAGGUUUUUUUAUUUUUAAUUUGGCCCCAUGGUUUUGCCCCGAAUUCAUUCUGGUCCCCCACUAAACGCUGCGUUUCGAGAGGACGGGAUAUUUUCACUUUUAAUCCCUCCCGUGUUUUAGCGUGUUCCAAUUGGUCCUUCUCUUUUAUAUAUUUCUUUUUAAAAUUGCCCCUAACCUUUUUUAUUUCGAUUUUCAUCCUUUUUUUUACUUUUCCUCAUUAUUUUAUUUUAAUUUCAAUAUUAUUUAUACUAAUAUAUUCUAUUAAUGUUAUUAUUAUUAUAUUUUUAGUAUUUUAUUGUUGUUAUUCUACUUAAUACUAACCUGUAUAUGUUAUUUAAUAUUAUUAAGGGUUUAAUAUCAUUAUCUUGUUAAUAUAUUUGUAUAUCACCUAUGCAUUCUUUAAAUAUAUAUACAUUUACGCAUAUAUCCUAAAAUUAUAUUACACAUAUUUGUUUUAUAUAUAUAUAUUUAUCUACGUAUAUUAUGUCUCUAUUUUAAUAUAUUUUACAUAUAGUAUUUAUAUAUAGUUCUUAUACAUUUCCAAGUACAUAUUUCUAUACCAUCUUAUGUAUAUAUUUUUAAAUAUUAUAUUGUAUAUGUAUAUAUAUUUUUUCUUAGUACCACAUCACGUAUAUAUCACGUAUAUAUUUAUUUUUACCCAUAUUGUAUUUGUUAUUAAUUUUAAUACAUUUAUUUUAUCAUACGUAUAUAUACCUUCCUUAUUUGUAUCAUUUGUGUAUGUCGUAUUAUUGAUUUUGUAUUUAUUAUUUUCCCUAUUGCUACUUAUUAUAUUAUUAUUUGGUGUACAUACAUCUUACUAUUAUUAGUAUAAAUGUAUUUUCCUUGUCCAUAGUAUUCCUAAUAUUAUUGUAUAUGUUCAAUUAUACUAUGUGUACUUGUAUCUAGUACGUAUAUAUUUAGUAAUAUUGCACAUAUAUGUCUAUUAGGCAUUAUAUUUUCAUACAUCAUGUAUAUAUGUCACAUAUUAUAUUUUUGCAUAUUUAUAUGUUACCUUAUAUUAUUAUUACUAAAUGUACUUUAUAUUUAUUCAUGUUUGGUUUUAUUUCUCUUUUAAAUAUUAUUAUUACUGUUUUGCUACUGCUCUAGUAUUAUGUUAAGUUUUUUCAUUGAUAAUGUCAUUGUUUGCUUCUUUGAUUUAUUCUUAUUUCAUGAAUAUCUUUUAUGUUUUAAUUACUAAUCGAGGCAAUAUAUUGAUUUAACAUUAAGUCGUAAAUCUCAUCGCUAUGUUGGAUGGAAUUUGUCGGCUCAUGUUAAAAUGGUAUAUCCUUCUCAAAAAUCAAAAAUUGAAAGUUCUCGUCUUUUAAAUCGGAUCACGAUUGGAAUUUAAAUUGAACUAGCCUUUUUGAAAAUUAAGACAACACAUGUUUAAAAGAUACCAAUUUUGGGCGUCGCGAGGGUGCUAAUACCUUCCUCGCGCGUAACUGACUCCCGAGCCCUACUUUGUCUCUGAUUUUAACGUAGACCUAAACUCGGCCUUCUUUUGUUUUAAAAAAUAAAUUUAUUAGGUGUCCGAUCACAUCUAGGAAAAAGGAUCGGUGGCGACUCCCUCUUUAUUUUAAAAUCGAACUUCAGUUUCCAAACUUUUUCACUAGAUUGCCACAAUUAGCGACCCAAAACCAAAAUUUUUACGUCGCUACAGCUGGCGACUCCACUGGGGACGGCCUUGUUGAGAGUCGUGUCUGGAAUUAAACACAUUUUGUCAAAAUUUUCAAAUUUCCUUGUUCAAAGUAAAUAUUUGGUCAUGAUCCGAAAAUCUCGUUUUCAAAAUUCAUGCAUUUGUAUCGUGCUGUAAAUAUUUCAUCUAACUUACUUAUUUGGUUGUUUUUUAGUGUUUUAAUUUUUAUGGUUUUAAUUUUGGUUUAGCUUCUUUAAGUGAAACGUAAAGGUUUAUGAGUUGUUCCCCACACACCGUGUACUUGCAUUUUACAUAACAUGAGCUCUCUACCCGGGCUCCGUCCGUUUAAGUGAAAGUAAACGCUACGCCUUCGUGAGUUAACUCGUCCCUCCGCACAGGCUAGUGAAUACUUUCGGGUUACAUAUGACUUAUGCUUUCGUGAGUUAACUUGUCCCUCCGCAUAGGCAUAAGUAAAUGUAACCCCUCGAAUUGAACUCGUGAGCCUGUGAUAGGCUAUGACCGAGGCUCCGUGUUAAUCUUAGCAGAUGAUAGUACGGGCAAUUCGAGUACCUAUCUAGAACCAAAACCGCAUAUAAUGAACCAUACGAGCCACCUAACUAGAGCCAUACCGAACCUCCGCUCGUUUAGUAGUCACCAAAAUAAGUACACGGGAAAAGCACAUCUUACCUUCUAUUUCUUUUACAUUUGUGCUUUCUAAACAAGGGAAUCGAGUCCACUGGACCAAGUAGCUUAAUUUGUUAGAUUUUCCACAGUUUUUCUCUAUUUAUAUGUGUUGCGCUAACCAAGGUCGUUUGUCUGUAUUUCUAUUUUUCAUCAUGCAUCGAAAGCAUCUUGUUAGGAAGGUGUUGAUUAGAGAUUGGUUGCCAAAAAAUAGGUUUCUGAUGGAGGAGUCAAUUACACAAAUAACCGAGAAGAGUGCCGUGGUUCGGGACUGGUCUCUAAAAAUUCAGAAAGAAAAGGGGGAUAGUCUAGUGGAAGGGUGUGUCGCUAAUUUGCCCGAACAUAUAACUGUAAAUGUUCGCCAAAAUAACUUUGAGGAUUUGGUUCGAAUUUGGAAUCAGUGGGAUUCAGACACUAGAGACAUUUUCACUGAGAGGUAUGGAGAUAUAGCUCACCUGAUCACCAUCCGUGUAGACGAACAGUUUAUUCAAGCCAUGGUUCGGUUCUGGGACCCAGCUUAUCAGUGUUUCACCUUCAAUCAAGAAGACAUGACUCCAACCAUAGAAGAGUAUGCUGCUUUACUCCGCAUCGACAAUGUACAAUUCGGCAAAAUAUAUGUGAAGGAGCCUAAGCCGAUGACCUUCAAGAAAAAGUUAGUGAGACUGACAGACAUGACCGAUGCAUGGGCCGAGAAACAGAUAAAGAAGAAGAAUGAAACCAUUUGCAUUCCAUGGUCCUCCCUACGAGAUUUGGCUCUGAACCAUCCCAACAUGCUGAAAAGGGUAAAUCUAUUCGCUUUGGCCAUUUACAGUUUGGUCAUUUUCCCAAAAGUUCUCGGACAUCUCGAAGUUGCAGUAUUUGAUUUCUUCGAAAGGUUAAAACAAGGUUGAUGGAAUCAACCCUGUCCCGACCAUCCUAGCCGAGACCUUCAGGUCCCUGAGUAGUUGUCGAAGAAAAGGGGAGGGACGAUUUAUCGGAUGCGCGCAGUUGCUCAUUGUUUGGAUUUUGAGUCACUUCUGGAAGGUAGAGCGCACUCCGUUCCAUAUGUUUUCUAAAACAUUCUCCCCGCUAGAAGCUUACCUCAAGAAAGAAUGGCCGAAGGAAGUCACCGAGCAACAUUGGGUAUUAGUUUUUCAGAAUCUUCGCGCCGAGAAUAUAACAUGGAGAGCACCCUAGAUCUGUCCUUCAGUUCUGCUAUACAAAUGUGGAAGCCAAGAUUGGGUACCUUUACUCGGGUUAUAGAGAGGAGUUGGAUAUGCCCCGCUAUUAGUCCAAAGGCAGUUUUCUUCGCGACAAUUCCUCCUCGCAACUGGAGGAUUAGCACAGUUCGAGUUCACUUUCGCGGGUGAAGGAUAUAUGAAGAGAGUCCGAGACACUGCAAAGUAUUGGAAGGAAAUUCAUUUCAUGGAAUUAGCUUUGUAUGCUGAUACCCUUACCCAAGAUUACGACAUAUGGAGGAAGCAACGGGUAAAUAGUCAGCGAAUCUCAUCAACAAACUACACCAUCCAGAAUCCUUUCUCGGAGGAAACGCCGUCUGAGCUAGAAAUGGCAAGACAAGAAUUUGAACGAGAAAAUGCCAAGAUGUCUCGGGACCUUAGUGCCCUUCAAGAAGAAAACUAUCAACUAAAGAUUAAGGUUCAGGUUGAAAGGUCCAGGACUGAAAAAGUACAAAGAGAAGCCGAGAUUGUGAGAAACGACUUAAGGGACCUUCACUUGGAAAACAAGAAAUUAAGAAACACUAUAAAGAAUAGCGGGUUGUGCAAGUCGACAGCAGAAUGGAAGGAAGAAAUUAGCAAUAUCAAGGGAGGAAUAGAGUUUUGGAAGGGAAAAGCAAAGAAAGAGGAGGAAAAGACUGCACGCGCUGUGAUAGAGUUAAGAAGGAAGAACGUCGAGUAUAAAAUAGUGGCUGCAAAAUUGGCGAAUAGUCAGUCUGAACAUCAAGAAUUAAAAAGGAAAACACGAGAUCUAGAAAAUAUGCUGCAAUCUCGUCAACAACAAUUAGAUAACCUCUUGAAGGCUCUAGAAGAAAAGAGUGAGCAGUACGAUAAGGACAUUCACGCGUAUGAAGGAACCCUCAAAGAAAAAGAAAUGCAACUUGACUUCUUGAUCAAUGAAAUUCGUAAAGCGGCUAUGCAAGUUGUUCAAUUAUCAGAUGAAGCCGAAGUUCUCAGUUGCCAAUUCCCUCCGAGCCAAAGAUCGAGCAUAUCAGAGUUUUUAGAGCAAGUGAAGAAACAAGGCAAUGUGGCUAGGAAAUUUGUGUAACUGUUGGAAAAAUGAGAACUUUGUGUAAUAGACUAUGUUGAUAAAUGAAAUGCCUAAAUAUGGGGCUAUCUUGAAAUCAACACAAAUUUCUUGCAUUUCAUUCAUAACUGACAUUCAUUUGACAUUCAUGCAUUCAUUCAUGUAUCAGUUCAUUCAUUGCAUAUUCCAUACUCGUUCGCUGAGGUUAAAACGUACAAUUCGCAGUUGCCAGACUUCAAGACUGGAACCACGUCAUCCGUAUAAAAUGCGCCGACAAGCUAGAGUAAUGGAGAAUGAAUUCAAUGAGAGAAUUGAAAGGAUGGAAAGGGCUCAAAAGGAAUUACAAGAGCAACUGGCCAAAUCGCAACAAGAGACGAGAGACCUAAUGGUGAGAUCUCGAGAGGAAUCUCUCGAGCAAAGAUAUCAGAUAGCUAAAAUGAUGGAGAUGAUGACAACUUUGGUCAAAGGAAAAAUGCAGAACCCCGAUGUUAUGGAACCUCGGUCAAGAAUUCACCAUGAUCAGGAUCCACUCUAUCCCCCGGGAUUCACUCCACCGCCCGCAUAUACAAUACAAAGAGGGUAUACUCAAGAGGAACCCACUGGCUUGGAACAUCGACCUAUGCCACCUGCUCCACCCACUAAUUUGGGGUAAGAAAUGUUAGCGUCGAACCCAGGGGCUAGUUCUGCUAAUCCACUAGUUCCAGAUCUGGAUGACCCAGCAGAGGUAGCCAAGUUGAAAUUGGAUAACCAUGACGCAAAAUAUAGGAGUCUAGAGGAAAGACUCAAAGCAAUAGAAGGCACUGAAGUCUUCUCCGCACUAGGUGCCAAGGAACUCAGUUUGGUACCUGAUCUAAUUUUGCCUCCGAAGUUCAAAGUGCCUAAUUUUGAGAAGUAUGAUGGGACAAGGUGCCCGAAAGCACAUCUCAUUAUGUUCUGUCGGAAAAUGACUGGUUAUGUGAACGAGGAUAAACUACUCAUACAUUGCUUUCAAGAUAGUCUAAUAGGGUCAGCUCUUCGGUGGUACAAUCAACUUAGUAGAGAAAAGAUUCGAUCUUGGAAGGACUUGGCGUCAGCAUUUUGCGAACAGUACAAGCAUGUAUCGGAUAUGGUGCCAGACCGUAUGACCUUGCAAAUGAUGGAGAAAAAGCCAUCAGAGACCUUUAGACAGUAUGCGCAGAGAUGGAGAGACGUCUCAGCUCAAGUGGAACCCCCACUAACAAAAACGGAGAUAACCGUUCUCUUUAUCAAUACUUUAAAGGCACCGUUUUAUGACAAAUUAGUGGGAAGUGCCACGAAAGAUUUCGCGGAUAUUGUAAUAUCCGGUGAACUCAUAGAGAAUGCCGUCAAGAGCGGCAGAAUGGAAGGAUCAGAAGGCUCAAGAAAAGCAGCACCCUUAAGGAAGAAAGAGCCAGAAGCCCACAUGGUGGGAACUGGGAGUCGUUACAUUCCCAAUUCGUAUCCUAACCAACCCCGACCUCGAAAUUAUCCACCCCCAAAUUCCUAUUAUCCCCCUCAAACCCCUUACUACCAAGCACCACAUCUGUCCUACCCCGUAUACGCCACGAACAACUAAAGACCCGUCACCACUUUCCCACAAAACACGGUACCCACCCAAAGCCAAUCAAGGCAUAAUCCUGAGAGACCGCAAUUUACCCCCAUCCCUGUGUCGUAUGGGGAAUUGUACCCAAAACUUUUAGAAAAACAGCUAAUUUCUCCCCAUUACAUGACACCCCUUAAACCUCCAUACCCAAAGUGGUACGAUCCAAACGCUAGUUGUGCAUACCACGCAGGAAACCAACGGCACUCUACUGAGAACUGUCUCGUUUUCAAAAGGAGAGUUCAAGGACUCAUUGACGCGGGUAUCCUACGAUUCGAUAGUGCUAGUAACGCCACAGGGAACCCGUUCCCUAACCAUACCGAAGGGAAUGUGAGCACAGUGGGGAAAGAGGAUGAAUGGAAGGUCAGAAGAUGUGUAUCAGAAAUAAGGACGCCUCUACAGAAAAUCUGGGAGGUAUUGGUUAAGAAAGGAUUACUCUGUCACUCUGAUAGAAUUUUUGGAGAAGAAGGUCAAAGUUUUUGCAAUUUUCAUGGGAUUGUUGGGCACGACAUUCAGUCAUGCGAGGACUUUAAAAGGUUACUUCAAGACCGGAUGGAUAAUAAGGAGAUCAAGGUCCUUAACAAGAGUGAAGAUGCCAACGAAAGAGAAGUAUGCGUCUCUGAUAGCCAAUCAUCAGGGCCCCCUUAUAGUGCUGAUCGACCGUUGGUAAUUUAUUACGACGCGAUGAGAGAGCCAUUGAAACCACAGAUGGUAAUUGAAGUACCAUCUCCUUUCCCAUAUAAGGACAACAAAACAGUACCGUGGAAAUAUGAUGUUAAUAUUGUUACACCGGAAGUUGAAAAGUCCAAAGCCAUAACUGAAGAUGUUGGGGAGGUAGGUCAUUUUACUCGAAGUGGACGAUGCUAUUCUAAAGAAGUUGAACCGGUAAAGAAAAGUAGCGACUCGAAGCAAAAAGGGAAAGCAGUGAUGUACGAGGUCGAAGUCGAGCAAGAAAUUCCACCCGUGCAAGAAACUAAAAAGCCUGUGAAUGAGGAAGAAGCUCAAGAAUUCUUGAAAUUUAUUAAGCACAGCGAAUAUAGUGUGGUGGAACAAUUGAGCAAGCAGCCAGCACGAAUCUCAGUUCUAUCUCUACUAUUAAAUUCAGAGCCACACCGGAACGCUUUAUUGAAGGUGUUAAAUCAAGCUUACGUGGCCAACAACACAUCUGUCGAAAAGCUUGAUAGGUGGGUAAACAAUCUGAAUGCGGACAACUUCAUCUCUUUUAGUGAUGAUGAGAUACCGCCAAAUGGUAGAGGCUCGGUGAAAGCGCUGCAUAUCACGACCCGCUGCAAGGGCUACAUAAUACCGAACGUACUCAUCGAUAAUGGGUCAGCGAUAAAUGUUAUGCCAUUGGCUACGCUUUCCAGAAUACCGAUGGAUUUGUCCUACUUAAAGCCCUGUCAUUCCAUGGUAAGGGCAUUCGACGGGACGAAGCGUGAAGUCAUGGGAAAGAUCAAAAUCCCUUUGGAAGUGGGCCCCUACAUCUAUGAGGUCGAAUUCCAAGUCAUGGACAUUACACCCUCUUAUAACUGCCUUUUGGGAAGACCUUGGAUUCAUUCUGCUGGAGCAGUCCCAUCAUCCCUCCAUCAAAAGGUGAAAUUCAUCAUGGAUGGCUGUUUGGUCACAGUCGAGGGCGAAGAAGACAUCGUCGCAUCUAUCACUGCUGAUGCGCCAUACCUGGAAGUAAGCAAGGACGCAGUGGAAUGUUCCUUUCGAUCCCUUGAAUUCAUCAAUGCCACUUUCGUCACUGAGGGAAAUAGAAUUCUGAUGCCAAAACUGUCGAGAAAUACCAGAAUGGGUGUCAAGUUGACCGUAGAAAGGGGAGCUCGUGCGAGAAGAGGUUUAGGGAGACAUCUGCAAGGAAUAGUGAGGGCUUUAAAGCCAGUGCAGCACAAGGCCCGAUACGGUUUGGGGUUCCAGCCUGACAUGCGCCAAAGAAGAAGACAGUGGAAGAAGGAUCAAGAGAGAAGAAUUGUAAGAACUUUGGGCCGAGAACCAGAAUGGGAACCAAUAGAGUACCCUCCUUUGUCAAAAAUAUUUACAUCUGCGGGAAUGAUAUAUCCUGGACAAGAUGAUCCACGAAACAUGCUGGGGUUAAUUGAAAGGAGUUUUCAGAAUGUCAGUAUAAGUGUCAUUGACAAAGAAGCUGGUGCAAGUAAAGAUGUCUCGAGGAUACGCCCUUGCCCUCCUGGUUUCAUGUUGAACAAUUGGAUUGCUGAGGAGCUUCUUGUAGUUUAUAAGCCUUCAGAGUAAUGCUAAACAUCAACCUUCUAUUGUGUCCUUAGAUAUAAUGGAAUUCUUUUGUAGGAGCUUGCAUUCGCUCUUUAUCAUUUGAGGAAUAUCAAUGAAGAUGCAUUUUGUCAUGAUUUUUCGCAUUAUCACUAAUUUCAUAAUCAUUUUCUCAUUUCAUAGCCUAUCCUUACAUUUGCCUCAUUGCCAUGACAUAACAUUCGUUUGUUGUUUCCAAUACUUGGAUGUCCCCCUAUAGCUUCCUUUUCCAUUCAACUUUUAGGUGCUCAGAUAUUGACAACAUGAAUAAGCCCGUUACGAAUCUUGAAAUUGAUUUUGAGAAGGCUGUUUGCUUAGGAGAAUUUGAAGCCGAAGAAAAUGCUGAAGAUUAUGUCUCGUCUCCUGAAUUGUUAAGAAUGGUAGAACAAGAGGAUAAACAGGUUCUGCCUCAUGAAGAAUCUGUGGAAACAAUAAAUUUGGGCACUGAAGAGAGGAAACAAGAAGUGAAGAUUGGGACUUCUAUUUUAGAAAGUACCAGGCAUAGUUUGAUCACUUUACUCCGCGAAUAUAAAGAUGUUUUCGCGUGGUCAUACCAGGACAUGCCAGGGCUAGAUGAAGAUUUAGUGGUCCAUAAGCUCCCAUUAAAGCCAGAAUGCAGGCCCAUCCAACAAAAAUUAAGACGGAUGAGGCCCGAAAUGCUGUUGAAAAUAAAAGAGGAAGUCAAUAAGCAAUUUGACGCUGGCUUCCUACAAGCCUCCAAAUAUCCAGAAUGGGUGGCUAACAUAGUCCCGAUACCAAAGAAAGAUGGAAAAGUACGAAUGUGCGUGGAUUACUGUGACCUGAAUCGAGCAAGCCCAAAAUAUAAUUUUCCCUUGCCACAUAUUGACACGUUGGUGGACAACACAGCAAAACAUUCAUUGUUUUCUUUCAUGGAUGGAUUCUCGGGGUAUAAUCAGAUCAAGAUGGCCCCUGAGGAUAUGGAGAAAACUACCUUCAUAACAAUGUGAGGAACGUUCUGCUACAAGGUGAUGCCAUUCGGGUUAAAGAAUGCUGGGGCAACAUAUCAGAUGGCUAUGGUGACAUUAUUCCAUGACAUGAUGCAUAAGGAAAUAGAGGUCUACGUCGAUGAUAUGAUUGCUAAAUCUCGAGGAGAAGAAGAACAUGUGAUGAACCUCAAGAAGUUGUUCGAAAGGCUGAGAAAGUUUCAGCUAAAGCUUAAUCCAGCCAAAUGUACAUUCGGGGCUACCUCGGGAAAAUUACUAGGCUUCAUUGUUAGUGAAAGAGGUAUCGAAGUUGAUCUAGAUAAAAUAAAAGCCAUCCAAGAAUUACCUCUCCCGCGCACACAAAAGGAAGUCAGGGGAUUUUUAGGGAGGUUGAAUUACAUUGCUCGAUUCAUUGCUCAACUUACCAACCAAUGCGACCCAAUUUUUCGACUCCUUCGAAAACAUAACCCGGGAGAAUGGAACGAGGAGUGCCAAGUGGCCUUCGAUAAGAUAAAACGAUAUCUGUCUAAUCCUCCUGUGCUAGUACCACUGACCCUUGGAAAACCCUUAAUUUUGUACCUGACCGUGUUUGAAAACUCAAUGGGUUGCGUACUGGGGCAACAUGAUGAGUCAGGGAGAAAAGAAAAGGCAAUCUACUACCUUAGCAAAAAGUUCACUGAAUAUGAGGCAAAAUAUUCGUCCAUUGAGAAAUAUUGUUGCGCUCUGGUUUGGGUAGCUCGGAGACUCAGACAAUAUAUGUUGUAUCACACGACAUGGCUAAUUUCAAAGCUGGACCCAAUAAAAUACAUGAUGGAACCGCCGGCACUAUCAGGAAGAAUGGCACGAUGGCAGAUCCUCCUUUCGGAAUAUGACAUUGCCUAUGUAAGUCAGAAGUCGAUAAAAGGGAGCGCAAUAGCUGACUUCUUAGCAACUCGAACGACAGAGGAAUAUGAGCCUUUAAGAUUCGAUUUCCCAGACGAAGACUUAAUGUGCAUCACAAAAAUAGAAUCCGAGUCAUCAAAAGAGAAGUCAUGGAAGAUGUGCUUUGAUGGUGCGUCAAAUGCUUUAGGGCAUGGAAUUGGAGCAAUCCUGGUAUCACCAGACGGGAAUCAUUAUCCGUUCACUGCAAGACUGAACUUCUUCUGUACCAAUAAUAUCGCAGAAUAUAAGGCCUGUAUCAUGGGGCUUCGUGUAGCUAUCGAACGAAACAUCGAGAUCUUGGAGGUGUACGGGGACUCAGCCCUAGUGAUUUACCAAAUGCAUGGAGAAUGGGAAGUGAGGGACACAAAAUUGAUUAAGUACAGCGAUUUAGUGGCUGGAUUGAUCAAGGAAUUCAAAGAAAUAACUUUUCAUUACUUCCCACGAGAAGAGAACCAACUGGCUGAUGCCCUAGCCACUUUGGCUUCAAUGUUCAAAGCAAGUAGAGAAGCAGAAAUAAUGCCCCUCAAAAUGAGCAUAUACGAGGUCCUUGCACACUGUUGUAGCAUUGAGAAAGAAGUAGACGGACGGCCUUGGUUCCAUGAUAUCUUAGAAUAUACCAAGAAUCAAAGGUAUCCCGAACAAGCGAAUGAGAACGAUAAAAGAACAAUUAGAAGAAUGGCAGCGGGAUUUGUUCUUGAUGGGGAUAUCCUGUAUAAAAGAGGAAAGGAUCAGAUGCUUUUGAGAUGUGUGGAUGAUGUUGAAGCCAGAAGAAUACUUGAAGAGGUCCAUGAGGGAAUUUGCGGAACGCAUGCCAAUGGUUUCAAUAUGGCCAGAAAGAUCAUGAGACUCGGUUAUUAUUGGCUGACAAUGGAAAGUGACUGCAUCAAUUUUGCCAGAAAAUGCCACAAAUGUCAAAUCUACGGCGAUAAAAUUUAUGUAGCCCCUUCACCCCUUCAUGUCAUGACUUCUCCGUGGCCUUUUUCUAUGUGGGGCAUGGAUGUCAUAGGGCCAAUUUCUCCAAAAGCUUCAAAUGGACAUCGAUUCAUUUUUGUGGUUAUCGAUUACUUCACAAAAUGGAUUGAAGCCGCUUCGUUUGCCAAUGUGACGAAGACUGCAGUGUGCAAGUUUUUGAAAAAAGAAAUCAUUUGCCGAUAUGGUUUGCCUGAAAGAAUCAUCUCAGAUAAUGCCACGAAUCUGAACAAUAAGAUGAUGAAAGAAGUGUGCGAGCAGUUCCAAAUAAAGCAUCAUAAUUCCUCGCCCUAUCGCCCAAAGAUGAACGGGGCUGUUGAAGCAGCUAACAAGAACAUUAAGAGGAUCAUUGGGAAAAUGACUGAGACAUAUAAAGAUUGGCACGAGAAACUUCCAUUUGCUUUGUUUGCAUAUCACACAUCUGUGCGAACAUCUACGGGAGCAACUCCUUUCUCUCUAGUCUAUGGAAUGGAAGCUGUGCUACCUAUCGAGGUUGAGAUCCCCUCUCUGCGAGUAUUGAUGGAAUCAAAGUUAGAAGAAGCAGAAUGGGUUCGAGCUCGAUAUGAUCAGUUGAACCUCAUUGAAGAAAAACGUCUAAGGGCAAUUUGUCAUGGGCAAAUGUACCAAAAGAGAAUGAUCGCAGCCCAUGACAAGAAGAUACGACCAAGAGAGUUCCAUGAAGGAGAACUCGUUCUAAGAAAGAUUCUCCCAAUACAAAAAGACCUGCGAGGAAAAUGGGCACCAAAUUGGGAAGGACCAUACGUUGUAAAAAAGGCAUUCUCAGGAGGAGCUUUAAUCCUUACCGAGAUGGAUGGGAAGGAGUUACCGAAUCCAGUGAAUUCAGAUGCGGUGAAGAAAUAUUAUGCUUAAGAUGAAAACCCGAAAAGGGCAUCUUAAAAAAAAAGAAAAAAAAGAUCAGGGCGAAAACCCGAAAAGGGCGUCUUGAUUAGUACAAAAAGAUUAGGAUGAAAACCCGAGAGGGCGUCCUAAUGAAACAAACCUGGCGGUCGAACGAUAGGUCAAGUAGUGAGACUACAGUAUUUGAAGCACUUCUGAAAGCUCGAAAUUUUCUACGCAAGAAGCCACGCUCGAAAGGAUUAUUGAUUGAGGAACGUGGAAGAGUUCAUGUGUUGAAUAUCUAGAGCAUUUGUAUCCGUUGAAUACGACCUUUUCUUUCUUUUUGACAUUUUUACUCUUAUUGGUUAACUUUCGUUGUUUGCCACAUUUAAAAUAAAGGAAUAUGAGAUAUCCUUUUUGUCCCUACCUGACCAUUUUCAUGCAUCUCAUUAUGUGUUUAUUUAAUGAUAAAUAGUGAAAUGACAUGCUCUAAACAAAAGAAAUGUUAACCAUUACCUGGAUGAAAAUUUGAUAAGCACAAGAGUCUCAAAGUAAGAACAAAGUUCAAUCGGGGGCAGAAGAGUGAUAUCUGAGAAACGUCGAUUACUCGUGAAGCUUGAAGACAUGCAUAAGGCCUGAAGAGAAGGUCGAGAAUCAAAGCAAUGAACGCAGAUCCUCAACAAUCAUGGCGAAAAUGACAUACGACCAAUAUGCUUAAAGAGCACUGCAUAAUCAUGUAGGCAUAAAGGCAUUUAAGACAAACAUGUGCAUAUCAUGAUGACAUCAUGCAUGGCAUAUACAGGUAAUCCAGUAAAGCAAGAAAUCUUGAAUGAGAGUCGCACUGAAUCAAAGGAAAAGAUACCCGAGUUCUACCAAAGGACUGGUUUUGGUAUUUUGAUGUUUAAUAUUCAUGCUUUCCAAGGAAAAUCAACUCAUAUUGCGAGAGAUGAGUUGAGCCUCAAGACACGUUGGGGUAUUCUUAAAUUUUUUUAAAUCAACUCAUAUUGCGAGAAGUGAGUUGAGCCUCGGGGCAUGCCGAGGUAUUUUUAGUUUAUGUUUUAAAUUGACUCAUAUUGCGAGAGGUGAGUUAAGCCUUUUAAUUUUACUUUUUACAAAAUCAGCUCAUAUUGCUAGAGGUGAGUUGAGCCUCGAGGCACGCUGAGGUAUUUUCAAUUUUUUGUGUGUUUUAAUUUCAACUCAUAAUGCGAGAGGUGAGUUGAGCCUCGGGUCACAUUCCGAGGUAUUUUCAAAAUCUGUUUGGCAAAUUCUGUGUUCAAAAAUCAACUCAUAUUGCGAGAGGUGGGUUGAACCUUUUAAUUUCUACUUUUUCAAAAUCAACUCAUAUUGCUAGAGGUGAGUUGAGCCUCAGGACACGCUGAGAUAAUUUCAAUUUCUGUUGUCAAAAAAAUCAACUCAUAUUGCGAGAGGUGAGUUGAGCCUCAAGACACAUUGAGGUAUUUUCAAUUUCUGCUUUUCAAGAAAAUCAACUCAUAUUGCGAGAGAUGAGUUGAGCCUCAAGACACGUUGAGGUAUUUUCAAUUUCUGUUCAAUUUAUGUUUUUCAAAAAUCAACUCAUAUUGCGAGAGGUGAGUUGAGCCUCGGGGCACGCCGAGGUAUUUUCAAAUUCUACUUUCAAAAAAAUCAACUCAUAUUGCGAGAGGUGGGUUGAACCUUUUAAUUUCUACCUUUUCAAAAUUCAACUCAUAUUGCGAGAAAUGAGUUGAGCCUCGGGACACGCCGAGGUAAUUUCAAUUUCUGUUGUCAAAAAAAAAUCAACUCAUAUUGCAAAAAGUGAGUUGAGCCUCGGUUCACAUGUUGAGAUAUCUUUAGUUUUUGUUUUUAAUGUCUGUUUUUAAAGAGUCAAUUCAUAUUGCGAGAAAUGAGUUGGGCUCAAGAUCACAUGCCAAGUAAGAAUAAAGAUUGAAGCUGAUGAAAGACACCAGACUUGGUCUCCCUGAAGUUGCAGUGGAGCCGGUCAAAAGUUGCAAGUCUUGUCUCCCUGAGGUCGCAGUGGAACUGAUCGAGGAUAUCAAAUCUUGUCUCGCUAGAGUUACAGAAGAGAAGAUCACGAAUCUCAUCUCACUGAAGCGAUAAAAGAGCAGAUUGAAGCUUAGAUCUUAUCUUUAUGAAGCUACAUGGAAGCAGAUUAAAGCCACAAAUCUCAUAUCCUUGAAGUUACAUUGGAGUAGAUCGAAGCUACAAGGUAUAUGUCAGAAGAUGUGGUGGAUUGAAUCUAAAGCUACAAGAUGCAGUGGACUGGAAGAAGAUUAUCUGAACUAGAAGAGCACCAAUGAAGUCAAGACUCAACAAGACGGGACAAAAUUGGCCUUUUAUUUUGUCUUUGCUCUAUUUUCGUUACACGACAAUGAGCAAAGAGGGGCAGCUGUAGUAGGCCAAUUUUGGCCCACUAAUACCAAGCCCAUUUACCCCUCUUACAACCAACAAACCAAAUCCCCUAGCCCAAAUACCACCAGCCCAAUACUCAACUAGCCCAACAAAAAAAAAAGAGAAACAGACAACAAGAAACCCUAAACUCCCACUUGCCUCUUUCCACUCUCCCAUGCUGUCUGCCACCAGCACCACUCCCACUCUCCCAUGCUGUCUGCCACCAGCACCAUCACACACCCCCAUACCGUCUACCACCACCAUGCCUUUGCCGCACCUGCAAACAAGCAAAGGAAAAGGACAAAAAAUGGAGCAAUAAACAGUAACAUAAUAUUGUAUUUUUGGCUAUAAAGCCACAAGCAAAAUCGAACUUAGGGGGGAAUUUUUAAGUAAAAAAAGAGAGAAAUAAUUUCAAUACACAAGCAGUGAUAAAAUAAUAGAGGAACUACAAGAUCGAAAAUCGAAAUCAAAAAAAAGAAGGUGACUUUAAAUUUUAUUGAAUCGGCUUCAUAUUUUUCUAUUUUCUUUUCUUUGUCAUUUUCUACUCAUAUUUAUACACAUAUAUAGUGCAAAAAUAUAAAACAUAUAAAAAUAUAAAAAUAAAUAAAUUUUUACCUUUCCGGCCACCGCACGCCGGCGCCGGCGAGGCUCCGGUGGCCGUCCGGUGACCGACCCCCGUGGCUGGAGCUCUCCCCUCCCCUCUCUUCCUUCCCCGCUCCCUCUUUUCUCUCCCUCCUCUUCCCUUUUUUUUUCCUUUCUUCUGUUUCAAAUGAAAAAAAUAAAAAUUUUUAACUUAUAUAGGGGACCAAAACGGUGCGUUUUGGUCCUCCCCCUUUAACCCUUAAAACGGCGCCGUUUAGGCCCAGGGUCGGGUCGACCCGACCCGCACCAAGGAGGAUCCGCGUGUUUUUCUUUGGAAGGGCUAAUUGCACUUUUAGCCCUUCCACUUUUCUGGGAGUUUACAAUCAAGGUUUUUUUAUUUUUAAUUUGGCCCCAUGGUUUUGCCCCGAAUUCAUUCUGGUCCCUCACUAAACGCUGCGUUUCGAGAGGACGGGAUAUUUUCACUUUUAAUCCCUCCCGUGUUUUAGCGUGUUCCAAUUGGUCCUUCUCUUUUAUAUAUUUCUUUUUAAAAUUGCCCCUAACCUUUUUAUUUCGAUUUUCAUCCUUUUUUUUACUUUUCCUCAUUAUUUUAUUUUAAUUUCAAUAUUAUUUAUACUAAUAUAUUCUAUUAAUGUUAUUAUUAUUAUAUUUUUAGUAUUUUAUUGUUGUUAUUCUACUUAAUACUAACCUGUAUAUGUUAUUUAAUAUUAUUAAGGGUUUAAUAUCAUUAUCUUGUUAAUAUAUUUGUAUAUCACCUAUGCAUUCUUUAAAUAUAUAUACAUUUACGCAUAUAUCCUAAAAUUAUAUUACACAUAUUUGUUUUAUAUAUAUAUAUAUAUUUAUCUACGUAUAUUAUGUCUCUAUUUUAAUAUAUUUUACAUAUAGUAUUUAUAUAUAGUUCUUAUACAUUUCCNNNNNNNNNNNNNNNNNNNNNNNNNNNNNNNNNNNNNNNNNNNNNNNNNNNNNNNNNNNNNNNNNNNNNNNNNNNNNNNNNNNNNNNNNNNNNNNNNNNNNNNNNNNNNNNNNNNNNNNNNNNNNNNNNNNNNNNNNNNNNNNNNNNNNNNNNNNNNNNNNNNNNNNNNNNNNNNNNNNNNNNNNNNNNNNNNNNNNNNNNNNNNNNNNNNNNNNNNNNNNNNNNNNNNNNNNNNNNNNNNNNNNNNNNNNNNNNNNNNNNNNNNNNNNNNNNNNNNNNNNNNNNNNNNNNNNNNNNNNNNNNNNNNNNNNNNNNNNNNNNNNNNNNNNNNNNNNNNNNNNNNNNNNNNNNNNNNNNNNNNNNNNNNNNNNNNNNNNNNNNNNNNNNNNNNNNNNNNNNNNNNNNNNNNNNNNNNNNNNNNNNNNNNNNNNNNNNNNNNNNNNNNNNNNNNNNNNNNNNNNNNNNNNNNNNNNNNNNNNNNNNNNNNNNNNNNNNNNNNNUUGUCUCCCUGAGGUCGCAGUGGAACUGAUCGAGGAUAUCAAAUCUUGUCUCGCUAGAGUUACAGAAGAGAAGAUCACGAAUCUCAUCUCACUGAAGCGAUAAAAGAGCAGAUUGAAGCUUAGAUCUUAUCUUUAUGAAGCUACAUGGAAGCAGAUUAAAGCCACAAAUCUCAUAUCCUUGAAGUUACAUUGGAGUAGAUCGAAGCUACAAGGUAUAUGUCAGAAGAUGUGGUGGAUUGAAUCUAAAGCUACAAGAUGCAGUGGACUGGAAGAAGAUUAUCUGAACUAGAAGAGCACCAAUGAAGUCAAGACUCAACAAGACGGGACAAAAUUGGCCUUUUAUUUUGUCUUUGCUCUAUUUUCGUUACACGACAAUGAGCAAAGAGGGGCAGCUGUAGUAGGCCAAUUUUGGCCCACUAAUACCAAGCCCAUUUACCCCUCUUACAACCAACAAACCAAAUCCCCUAGCCCAAAUACCACCAGCCCAAUACUCAACUAGCCCAACAAAAAAAAAGAGAAACAGACAACAAGAAACCCUAAACUCCCACUUGCCUCUUUCCACUCUCCCAUGCUGUCUGCCACCAGCACCACUCCCACUCUCCCAUGCUGUCUGCCACCAGCACCAUCACACACCCCCAUACCGUCUACCACCACCAUGCCUUUGCCGCACCUGCAAACAAGCAAAGGAAAAGGACAAAAAAUGGAGCAAUAAACAGUAACAUAAUAUUGUAUUUUUGGCUAUAAAAGCCACAAGCAAAAUCGAACUUAGGGGGGAAUUUUUAAGUAAAAAAAGAGAGAAAUAAUUUCAAUACACAAGCAGUGAUAAAAUAAUAGAGGAACUACAAGAUCGAAAAUCGAAAUCAAAAAAAAGAAGGUGACUUUAAAUUUUUAUUGAAUCGGCUUCAUAUUUUUCUAUUUUCUUUUCUUUGUCAUUUUCUACUCAUAUUUAUACACAUAUAUAGUGCAAAAAUAUAAAACAUAUAAAAAUAUAAAAAUAAAUAAAUUUUUACCUUUCCGGCCACCGCACGCCGGCGCCGGCGAGGCUCCGGUGGCCGUCCGGUGACCGACCCCCGUGGCUGGAGCUCUCCCCUCCCCUCUCUUCCUUCCCCGCUCCCUCUUUUCUCUCCCUCCUCUUCCCUUUUUUUUUCCUUUCUUCUGUUUCAAAUGAAAAAAAUAAAAAUUUUUAACUUAUAUAGGGGACCAAAACGGUGCGUUUUGGUCCUCCCCCUUUAACCCUUAAAACGGCGCCGUUUAGGCCCAGGGUCGGGUCGACCCGACCCGCACCAAGGAGGAUCCGCGUGUUUUUCUUUGGAAGGGCUAAUUGCACUUUUAGCCCUUCCACUUUUCUGGGAGUUUACAAUCAAGGUUUUUUUAUUUUUAAUUUGGCCCCAUGGUUUUGCCCCGAAUUCAUUCUGGUCCCUCACUAAACGCUGCGUUUCGAGAGGACGGGAUAUUUUCACUUUUAAUCCCUCCCGUGUUUUAGCGUGUUCCAAUUGGUCCUUCUCUUUUAUAUAUUUCUUUUUAAAAUUGCCCCUAACCUUUUUUAUUUCGAUUUUCAUCCUUUUUUUUACUUUUCCUCAUUAUUUUAUUUUAAUUUCAAUAUUAUUUAUACUAAUAUAUUCUAUUAAUGUUAUUAUUAUUAUAUUUUUAGUAUUUUAUUGUUGUUAUUCUACUUAAUACUAACCUGUAUAUGUUAUUUAAUAUUAUUAAGGGUUUAAUAUCAUUAUCUUGUUAAUAUAUUUGUAUAUCACCUAUGCAUUCUUUAAAUAUAUAUACAUUUACGCAUAUAUCCUAAAAUUAUAUUACACAUAUUUGUUUUAUAUAUAUAUAUAUAUUUAUCUACGUAUAUUAUGUCUCUAUUUUAAUAUAUUUUACAUAUAGUAUUUAUAUAUAGUUCUUAUACAUUUCCAAGUACAUAUUUCUAUACCAUCUUAUGUAUAUAUUUUUAAAUAUUAUAUUGUAUAUGUAUAUAUAUUUUUUCUUAGUACCACAUCACGUAUAUAUCACGUAUAUAUUUAUUUUUACCCAUAUUGUAUUUGUUAUUAAUUUUAAUACAUUUAUUUUAUCAUACGUAUAUAUACCUUCCUUAUUUGUAUCAUUUGUGUAUGUCAUAUUAUUGAUUUUGUAUUUAUUAUUUUCCCUAUUGCUACUUAUUAUAUUAUUAUUUGGUGUACAUACAUCUUACUAUUAUUAGUAUAAAUGUAUUUUCCUUGUCCAUAGUAUUCCUAAUAUUAUUGUAUAUGUUCAAUUAUACUAUGUGUACUUGUAUCUAGUACGUAUAUAUUUAGUAAUAUUGCACAUAUAUGUCUAUUAGGCAUUAUAUUUUCAUACAUCAUGUAUAUAUGUCACAUAUUAUAUUUUUGCAUAUUUAUAUGUUACCUUAUAUUAUUAUUACUAAAUGUACUUUAUAUUUAUUCAUGUUUGGUUUUAUUUCUCUUUUAAAUAUUAUUAUUACUGUUUUGCUACUGCUCUAGUAUUAUGUUAACUUUUUUCAUUGAUAAUGUCAUUGUUUGCUUCUUUGAUUUAUUCUUAUUUCAUGAAUAUCUUUUAUGUUUUAAUUACUAAUCGAGGCAAUAUAUCGAUUUAACAUUAAGUCGUAAAUCUCAUCGCUAUGUUGGAUGGAAUUUGUCGGCUCAUGUUAAAAUGGUAUAUCCUUCUCAAAAAUCAAAAAUUGAAAGUUCUCGUCUUUUAAAUCGGAUCACGAUUGGAAUUUAAAUUGAACUAGCCUUUUUGAAAAUUAAGACAACACAUGUUUAAAAGAUACCAAGUUUGGGCGUCGCGAGGGUGCUAAUACCUUCCUCGCGCGUAACUGACUCCCGAGCCCUACUUUGUCUCUGAUUUUAACGUAGACCUAAACUCGGCCUUCUUUUGUUUUAAAAAAUAAAUUUAUUAGGUGUCCGAUCACACCUAGGAAAAAGGAUCGGUGGAGACUCCCUCUUUAUUUUAAAAUCGAACUUCAGUUUCCAAACUUUUUCACUAGAUUGCCACAAUUAGUGACCCGAAACCAAAAUUUUUACGUCGCUACAAUGUGUAUUCAUAUAUGAAUGAGUAUAUUCGGCCAAUGGUAUAUAAGUGAUCUUAGAAGUGAAAAAUAAUUAUGAUAUUAACUACAUGUGUAUUCAAUCUAAUUAGAUUUGAUGCGUAGUUAUAUGUUUGUUAAAUGCAUUUUUGCAAGUUUGAAAAUGUAUAUGAAUAUGAUAUAAUGAUUCGAUUUUGUUAUAAUGAAUUAUAAAUGUUAGUAAGUUAUUUAUUUGCUUAUGACUUACUAAGCUAUGAUAGCUUACUGUGUGUGUAUGUUUACCUCUGUUUUAUAGAUUUUGGAGUCUAGCUACGAGCUCAAGGAUCGUCAGCAAAGUCUAUCACACUAUCGACUGUGUUUUCGGUACUUUAUAAGUUUGAAAUUGAACCUAUGGCAUGUAUAGGCUAAAUUAUAUUUGGCUAAGUUUGAAGUUGUGUAUAUAUAUAUUAAGCCAUACGAAAAUGGCUAAUAUGUUAUGUAGGCAUAUGAAAUUUUAGUUAAGUUUAUAUGUGUCAUAUGCAUUGAAAAUGGUUGGUGGUUUUGGAUGUGGUUUGUUUGAAUCGGCCAUGGUAUAUACAUAAGUAUGAAUUAUGCUUGUUAUGUUACUCAUGGUUAAAAUGAUUCGGUUAUGUCUUGUAUUUGAUAGUAAUGGUUUAAUUUGGUUGACGAGUGUAUUCGGCAAAAUGUUGAAUUUAGGUAAUGAAUAUAUUUGAUUGAUGAUUCGGCACUUACAUAAAUAUUUUUAGGCAUAUGAUGAAUUGGUUUGAUAUAUAUAAUCUCAAGGUAUAUAUGUUUGAGGUGUUGGUUAUAUGUUUCGGUAAUAAGAAACGUUAAGUAUGAUUUUAUAAUUUGGCUUAGUAAGAGGUAAAAUAAUGAGUAUAUAUAUUGUAUGUGAAAUGGCUAUAUAGAUUUGUUUGUUAAUUGACAAUUAAUGAAUGUGUACAAGUUAAUUUUUCUAGUCAAAUAGAUAAGAGAAGAAUUGGUCUUGUAUAUGAUAUUUUGGUAUGAUGUAUAACAUGUGAAAUCGACAUGUUUUGAUUUGGCAUUAAUAUUUAUAAAUUUGGUUUAUUAAGUCAUAUAGAAACAUUUGUAUGUGUAUUAAUGACCGAAUAGAUAAUGUUUGAAUGGUUAGUAUUAUGCAUAUAAAUUUUAGUAUGUUUUGAUUUGAUAAUUAUGUUAAAAAAUGGUCAUGGUAAUAUGCGCAUGAAUUUGCAAUGUAAAAGAAGUAUAUUUGGCCAUGUUGUAAAGCUAGCUAUUAUCUUUUAUGAUAAUGAAUAUUAUGCCAUGAUAUAAGGUGAUAUGGUAUAAUAUACGAAUGUACAUUGAUUAUGUUUUCAAAAGCCAAUGCUGCAUAUAUUAUUAUUAAAUAAAUUUUGUUAUUUGGUAUGUUUGGUUAUUAAGCACAUGUAUAUCAUUGAGAUAUUAAAUGCUGAAAUUUUCUGAGGUAAAAAGCAUGAAUUUAGAGAAAAUUUUUAUCUAACCGAAAUAUGUAUUAUAUUACUUAAUUUACAUUUAAAUUAUUAUUACAAUAUUAAGGUUAUAUUUUUUAAAAUUUUAUCAAAAUAUUUCGUCAUAAUAAGAUUAUUAUUAACCAUAUAUAUUUACAUUAUUAGUAUUAAGCUACCAUUUUUGGUUUUUAGUUUAUACAAAAGCUACUUAUGUCGAUAGUCCCUUCCGGCUCUUAAAUCAAAUAAAAAGAUAAGUAUGUCUGGAACCAAGCCUUAUUUAUUGCUGCAGUAGUAAUGAUGCUAGCAGAGCUAAAUCUUAAUUAGCAAUAUUUUUUAUUUUAUAUAUUAUAAAGAUAAUGCUUAUUAUUAAGUUUAUUGUAAUUCUCAGUAAAUUAAUUUACAUAAUUUUGUAGUAAUUAAAACUAAUAUCUCUCGUAUCUUGACUUGAAUGAAGCAGUGAUCAAAGUUCUUAUUAGACAUCUAUUUGAUAAAAAAUUCAAACCAAGUCAUUCUCAUCUCCUAUCUCUAAUAUUGUAUGAAAAAAAAAACUAAUAUAUCUUAUUAUUAAAUACUUAUUACUUUCACAAACCAACAUAUUUUGACUAAAACUUGUUCACCAUUUAAAAAAAAUUAAAUAUGUUCUUCCUUCUUAGUUUUCAUUUUUUUUUACAUAAUCAUCUUGGUGAUUUGAUUCACUAUCCUAACAUAAUGUUUUAACUUUAUUCAAUGAGCUUAUUUUGGAAUACGACAAAUUAAAUGAACCGCCAUCUUAUUCAAUCCAUACACAAAUUACACAAAACAAUAGAGUUAGUAACCUACAUUUAUAUUUUUAUUUUAAGAUUUCAAAUUUCUUAUGUAAUAACACAAAUUUAUCCGGGCCCAACAAGACUCAAAAACAAAAACAAAAGAAGACUAAUUAAAAUUACAGCCCAAAAAUAUAUAAAGUAAACUAAUGGCCCAGUGGCCCAAAAUUAACUCAAACCCUAAUCCUAGGGUUUCCUUGUUCGCCGCUGCCUUCACAUGCUGGAUCAGCGCGCUCGCCGCCCGAAAACCACCGCCCCUGGUACUGCUUGCACCAAAAUAGCAGCUCCUGCCUCGUUGACUUUGCCUGCAAAAAAAGAAGGAACAUAAACAACGACAAAAAAGGCAACAAAGAAACGAAAGCAGAAAAAGCAACAGUCGCAGAGAAACAGUAAACUAGAACAGCAUGAAUAGUGAUUAAAUAAUAGUUGGCUUGUAAAUCGGCUAUAUAAGCCUAGCAACCAGAUAUUGUAAAGGGACAGACAAUUUUAGCAAUAAAAAAAAAACAAGAAAGGUUGAACUUCAUUCUCUGGUCUCUUUAUUUUCGCCUCUUUCUUUAUUUAUUUUCCUUUUCUCUUAAAUCAGUUUUGAAACACAAAAAAAAUAAAGAAAAAAGGGACUCACCUGAACCCCGAAGUCGCGAGGACGGGGCUCUUACUCCGUCGUGAAAUCGCCUCCAAAGGGGAAAACGGGGGUCCCUUCUUUCACGCUUUUGAGGUUAAAAGAACAUGGUAUUCGGGUGCUUUAAAAACCAGGGUUAAAAACCCCUUUUUGCGCAACUCCGAUCGCCCUCUACGGCGACAUGACGGCGGCGGCUACGAUGGGUUCUCUAACCCUAGCAAAGAAAGAAUAUGAAAAGGGGGAGGGGUGUUUUGAAAUUUUUGAGGGAAAAUGAAACAAAAAUGAAGAUUUUUUACUUAAGUAAUAAAACAGUGCCGUUUUGCACCUGGAGCACCAACGCCCAAACGGCGUCGUUUAGACCACGCCCGUGCACAACCCGACCCGCUCUAUGGGGGUCCGCGCGUUUCCUUUAAAUGGGAAAUUUCCUGCUUUAGUCCCUUCGACUUUUCUGUCCUUUUCGUUUAAUCCCAUAUAGCUUUGUUUCUUUUUCUUUAAAUUUCGCCCUUUUAUUUUAUUUUUGAUUUGGUCCUUGGCCCAGAUGGAUGAAACGCUGCGCAUAGAAGGCUGGGAAUAUUUUCCCAAUCAGCCUGUAGUUCUUUAUGCGCGUUUCGCCUUGGUCCUUAGUGGCCUAUAUUUAUUUAUUUUAUAAUUUGCAUCUUAAAUUUAAUUCAAUUUCAACUUAGCCUAAUUUAUUUAUUCGUUCACCUAUUUAUCGGUUUAUAUAUACCUAUUGUCCAUUUAUUUAUCAAUGUACAUCACUAGUUUAUGUCAUUGAAAUCAUUCCAUAAUUCCUUUAUUUCUUUUCGAUUUUCGUUUACCUUGGUUAUUAUUAUCUUAUUAUCUAUUAUUGUUUUAUCAUUUAGUCAUUCAUCAUUCUUUUAUUUUUAUUAUUAUUAUUUUUAUAUCAUUUUAUUUCAUGAAUUAUUCAUUCUAUUUAUAUUUUCAUUAUUGUUGGUGGUGGAUUAUUUAUUUUAUUAAUGUUAGUAUGAUUAUACCAUUAAUCUAAUUUUGUUAAUGUUUAAUAUCUAUUUGUUUGUUUAUUCAUUUAUUCAUUAUUAUUUUUAUAGAUUGGAUUUAUUUUUACUUCUACCCUCAUUAUUAUCUUUUUAUCAUAUGUUUGUGUAUAUCUUCUAUACCUUCAAAUGUUAUAUUAUUUAUUUUAUUAUUACUAUUAUUAUUGGCACUAUUUUUGAAUAUAUCAUGUGUUCUAAACUAUCAUCAAUUUUAAACAUUUCACAUAUAUUAUCUCUUCUAAAUCAUCAUAUGUAGUAUUCAUUUUGAAAUUUUUAUAUGUAUCUUUGUACUCUAAAUUAUUAUAUACAUAUAUACACAUACUUUUUACUUAAACAGUUUUUAUACAUUGUUUUAUCUCAAAUUUUUCUUUUUUCCUCAUUUAUUCUAAACGUUUUAUACAUUAUUCAUGUUAAACCAUUUUAUAUAUGUUUUAAGUUUUAUCUGUUAUUUUGUUAUACUAUUUUAUAUGUAAACGAUUUCAAAUUCUUUUAUCAUUUAUCGCAAACCUUUUAUCAUUAUUUACCUUAAGAUUUCAUAUAUAUCACUUAUAUUAAAUUAUUUUACAUACUUCUUAUAUAUUAUAUAUUUUCAAAGUUAUUUUUACAUAUUAUUUAUUUUAAAUUUUUUCCACAUAUGAUUUAUUUUAAAUCUUUGUGUAUAUUAUCUAUUUUAAAGUUUUAUAUGUAUUACUUGGUUUAAAUUAUUUUAUAUGUUAUUUACUUUAAAAUUUCUUAUGUAUUAUUUAUUUUAAAUUUCUUUUUACAUAUUAUUAUUUUGAGCCUCUUAAUAUUUAUUUUAAAUUUCUUUAUAUAUUAUUUUAAACUUGUCUUAUUCUUAUUUAAAUUUGUCUUUAUACAACUUAUUUUAAACUCUCUUAUUUAUUUUAAUUUGUUUUAUUAUUGUUCAUUUUAGGUUUUUUUUUCAUAUAGUAAUUAUUAUAUAUAUAUUACCUAUUUUAAUAUAUAUAUACUCUAUUUUAAAUUGUUUUACAUAUUGUCAAUUUUAAAUCUCCUUUUUCACAUUAUUUAAUCUCAUUAUCAUUUUAAAAUUGUUUUACAUCUUAUUCGUUUUUAUUUGCUUUAUACCUUUUAAAUUAUUAUUAAAUUCAUUUGUCUUUAAUUGUUAAUGUUAAUAUUUAAAUGAUAUACCUUGUGUGAUUAUUGUCAUUAUGUAAAUUUUGAUUCGUUUAUUUCGCAAGUUUGCAUUACUGUUAUUCAUUUGUAUAAUGUAGUGUCCAUGUAUAUUUGUCUUAUAUUCAUUACUAUAUUUUCAUAUCAUCGACCAUGAAUCAAGUCUCGUUACAUUCAUCCAAUAAAUUGUUUUAUUUUUAAUCCAAACGAAUAACGCACUUUAUUAAACAUUAUACUCUCUAUAUUUCACAAAGAAAAUUUUCUAAAUGAGGCAAUGUUUUGUGUUUUGGAAUAUCGAGAAAUUGUGCCCUAAACUUGCGCUCGGGAAUUCAUGAUAUUGUGUCCUAACUUACAGGAUGUGAUACUCCGAUAUCUAGAGACGAGGAAGUCUUUAACGAUUGUUUUGAGCUAAUUCAAGUGUUUUUUUAAUCGACGUCAAUAAAAAAGGAUCGUAUUUUAAAUUCAUUCUCGAUUUUCAACUUUCGACUCUAGGACAAUAACUAAUUAAUUUGGUACCAAUUUUGGGCGUGACGAGGGUGCUAAUCCUUCCUCGCACGUAAUCGACUUCCGAACUCAUUCUCUCGAGUUUCGUAGACCAAAAAACACUGUUUGCAUAAACUAAAACGUUUUAUUAAAACAAAGGUGGUCCGAUCACACCUAAUAAAGAUCGGUGGCGACUCCCGUUUUAAUUUUCAUUUUCAAACAAAGUCGAUUCCCGUUUCCAAAAAAAUAGUUUCGACAUCUUAAUUUACUUUUAAGAUUGAAAAUAUCAAGCUCGUUCUUGAUAUUUUUGGACCCUAAAGGAAAUAAUAAAUCGAAGUUUUAAGUUCCUUAAAAUUUGAAAAAAGUUUGUUGGCCAAUUAAAAACUGAAAAAAAAAAUUACCCAUUUCACCCAGGGCCGGGCCUGAAAAAGAUAUAAAAAAUGCUUGGGAUUUGCUUUUCAUGGAUUAUUGCUGAUGUUUCUAUUGGUUUUCAAGUGUUGAGAGAAUUACAAUAAUAAUGGAAAGUGAGAAAGGAUGGUAUGAAAUAAAGAUAUUAUCUUUUUCCAUUUAAUGUCACAUUAGUAAUUUUAUACUAAAUUUUCAGAUUUUCAUUUGGAUUUGAUUGAUUUUAAGAUGAAAAUGUUAAUGGAGCAUGAAACUAUUGAAAAAGGGGUACAAAUGAAGUGAGGUCCAUGUUUCAUACAAUCGUUUCUCAAAAGAAAAGUUAUGAUGUUCUUUUAAAGGAUAAGUUUUGGUGGUUUUUUUUAAGGUAAGGGGGAAAUUCUUUUUCCCAUUGAUGCUUUUAGUAAUUUAUUUACUUAAUGAUAUGUUAAAGGUUUUUGUUUUCAAAGACUGUAACUUUUUGGUGUCUUCUCCUUUAUGGUGCCUUGCACUUUUAUUAAUAAAAUUUUCUUUAAUGAGAAAAAAAAAACUAUAACAUGGUAAUACAUUACAAAAAUGGAAAUCUCAAGUAUAGGACUCCAUUUAUUAUUUGUAACACUAAUUUAAUACUAAAAUUGGGCUUUUACUUGUCGAUAUCGGUAUGCAUUUAAUUGGAAACCGGUGCUGAAAUAGAAGCAUAGGCGUGGAGCAGUUGGCCGUUGUCGAUGUGCUUUGCUGGGUCAGAAAACGCAUAAAGGAAGAAGUCCAUGAAAUCGAAUUCCUUGAAAAGCUGAGGAUGCUGGUCAUCUAUAAGUUCUUUGGGUGCCUUGAUUAUAGUACCUCAAUUGGAACGACAAAAGCUGCUAUAGAAUAUCGAUUUUUAUCUCCACUCAUCAUCACUCUGUGAUUUACUGAUUUCAUUCUCCCGUUACUCCAUGCCUUCAAUUUCCAAAAUCAAUAUCAAUAAGUAUUUUUUUUAUAAUUAUUCACUUUUAACAUCAAUAAUCUAAUAUCAUUAUAUUUUUUUUUAUCAUGAGCAAAGUAAAAAAGUUAUUCAAAAUAUUGAACUCGAGAUCUUAUGCCAACAUCAGUAAGUAAUUUAUGAUAAUUAUUCACAUUAAAAAUUUGAUCUAAUAUAUAUAUAUUGAGAAGCUAAAAGAAGGGUUGUCCAAAGUUUGAAUCCAAGACUUAAUCAAACUCAAAACUCAAAGAUAGUACCCAAGGGACAAGGCCUUCCCCUACCCUACCCCCCCCCCCCAAAAAAAAAAAAAAUCUCACUUAACUUGAUUUUGACUCUUAUAUUGCUUCUUCUAUUCACAUAGAUCAUUAAUGUUAAGUUUUAAAUAAAUUAAAAGGCUAACAUUAAUCAAAUAUAGAAAAAGUACCUUGAGAGGAUCUCCAACAAUAAACACAAAGGAAGAAGGAGAUAAAUUAGUCAAUUUGAUCCAUUGGCCAUCAUUGACCUCAAUUUCUAACCCUGAAAUUUUGUCCUCACAAAUAAGUGUGCUAACUAGUUUAUCAGUAUGAGCAAAGAGUCCUCUCUCAUACUCCCCCGGUGGAGGGGCCAGAUAUUUCAUCAUCCGCACUAAUGUUGUGUAGUUCAUUUUCAGUGAAUCCUCCUGUAAUCCAUAACUAUCAGUUAGCAUUAACCAAAUUAACUUGUUCAGCUCUUCCAUUUGCGUCGUUAGGGUAUGUAUAGUGUCCCUGAAAACAAAAUAUCAAAAUAAAAAUUUAAUAAUUCCAACUCAUUUGAAUCAAAAUUGAUCUGAAAUCAACACAACCUGAAAAAUUAGAAAGGUAAAAGAAUUUUUCUUACGUAAAGCGUGGGUGACCAUUAGGCCACAUAAGUUGAGCAAAGCUUUUAACAGAGUCAUAGUUGGAGGCAUCUCCGACUCCAAAGCCUUCAUACAACACAGAAACCUGCUCGCAUGGUCCAACCCAACCAUGGUAAGGCAAGGGACUAGUGUUCUUCUGUUUCCUCUCCACUGGGACCUCAACUAGUUCUUUCAGCAAUUCAAAUGCAUCCUCUCGGAUUUUUGUUGAUAUCUUUUUGUACACCACAUCGAAACAACCGAAAGUCUCACAAGCC
This 56507-nucleotide long non-coding RNA is filed under the name Gossypium barbadense (sea-island cotton). RNAcentral's name for it is "long non-coding RNA (GBAR_LNC013026)". Lineage: Eukaryota; Viridiplantae; Streptophyta; Magnoliopsida; Malvales; Malvaceae. The record is from RNAcentral.